Molecule: long non-coding RNA, 53410 nt
Filed under: Setaria viridis
Lineage: Eukaryota; Viridiplantae; Streptophyta; Magnoliopsida; Poales; Poaceae
Description: long non-coding RNA (SVIR_LNC000202)
Source: RNAcentral
AAUUACCAUAUUUAUCACAUGAAUUGAAUCGUAUUAUUUGACAUGACAAAUUAUAGUCAAACAAUUGCAAAAACAUUUGCAAAGUCGAUCUACUAAUAAAACGUAGCUAAGCCUGGAUAUCUAAACUUCCAUGUCCUACGCAUCUACAAUAUCAUUAUAACCCUACAGAUAGCCAUGCUCAUUGGGUUGUAACCCAAGCUGUAACCUCACCAACCUAUUCUUAAAAGAAAACAAAUAUAACACACUCCAGUUCAAACCUCGAUCACCAAACACCAUACCACCCCCAAACUAAUUAUAAACAUGAGCUAAUUAUAAAACUAAUUACACAUAUGGAGGCUAAUUCGUGAGAUGAAUCUAUUAAGCCUAAUUAAUCCAUCAUUAGCACAUAUUUACUGUAGCAUCACAUUAUCAGAUCAUGGACUAAGGCCCUGUUUGAAGAGGGGGUGCUAAACCCUACUUUUUAGCACCUUUUAGCACUUGGGCUCCCAAACAAGGAUGCUAAAAGGAGUGCUAAAGUUUAGCACCCCAUUUUCUUUAGCACACCCAAGGGGUGCUAAAAGGUGCUAAUGGGUGCUAAAAGUGAUCCUAAGCCCAUUUUUUCCCCUGCUGCCCCCCUCUCUCCUCUCCACUUUUCCCCAAGCCAAUCAUAAAUGAGGGCAAUGUAGUCAUUUCUCACCCAAUGUGCUAAACUUUAGCACUGUAUCCAAACAACCCUAAGUGCUAAACUUUAGCACUUCAUUUGAGGGUGCUAAAGUUUAGCACUGUGCUAAAGUUUAGUAUUGUGUAUCCAAACGGGGCCUAAUUAGGCUUAAUAGAUUUGUCUCGUAAAUUAACCUCCAUAUGUGCAAUUGGUUUUGUAAUUAGUCUAUGUUUAAUACUCCUAAUUAGUAUCUAAACAUUCGAUGUGACAGUAUUUAAAGAACCAAAAUGGAGGUGCAUCUGAAAGCAAGUUGGCAUCUUAGGACAACUGUCCUUUUUUUUGGUCAGUGCAUUCUAAUCUGCACUCGAGCUACCUAUCAAUCUCACAUUGAAUUGCGGCGCACAAGAGUACAAGAGAAACAACCAAAAGGCGUUGGCAAUUUAGCAUGGACCCAACCAACAAAUUUUGUUUGCUUCACUCUUCCUUUGCUUCGAUCUGUAACUCCAUUAUCAGCCAGCAAGAGGCAGCAUUUGUCCUACACAAAAAGAAUUCACAGAUCAACAUAUGCCAUAGAAAACAAAUGGACCAAAAUCACAGCAGACACUAGCAACAGAAUAGAAGGGAGAGGUUAUCUAGGAACAUUCAGAACAAGUCAUCAAGCAUCAGUAGAUUCGGAUCAUAUCGUAUCCGGUGAAGAUGAGUCUAAAGAUCAAUCACAUCAAUCUCAAACUGUGUGAGCAUAGCUGGAUUCUGACUAGUCAAAUACAUAGCUUUGAGAGCAGCUUUCUGAGUACCUGUGACACGACGCUGAUUCUGCGAGUUGCGUGGGGCCUCAUAAUCCGAGCCUCCAUUGAAAUUAUAAGUCUCACAAAGAAGAUCGUUUUCUUGAACCCCAACUCUCCAAUCAUUGCCAAGACCAGCAACAAGAGCAAUAAAGAUGGCCUCAUACUCUGAAUGAUCAAUUUUGAAUUUCAAUAAAUCAUACAACUCCUUAAAUAGCUGAGGGUAAGAGAUCAUUAAAAUCAGGCCAGGAUGUAUUGGGAAAAUUUCCCGGUCCUCAAAGUGAUUAUUCAUCAGCCAGAGAAGGAGAUUAAUAUAAGAUGGUAGACAAAGCCACCCAUUGACCAUAAACAAUUUCCAAAUCAAGUCUGCUGUUGCCCUGGUAAUUAAGUCGUAGAUGAGCUUUAAUAGCUGCAUCAUCCAGAUUUUGCCUUGUUAGAAUCCGUACGUGCCUCAGGUUUACCUUCCCUCUGGAAUACACGUGAACGUUGUCUUCAGUAAGAACAUCAAUACAACCUCCUUCCUACUCAACCUUCCUCAACUUCUUGAUCAAAGAUCUUGAAGCCUUCUUACUGAUCUCAGGAGCACGAUAAUACGAUUCAUGACUAUUCUCACCAAGAAGAGAACGUAUACCACCGGCAGUUGUUAACUUAAAAUUCACUUUCAAGACCAUCUUAUUAUUCCUUCUGAAUUGAUCCCAGGUGACUCCACUGUCAGCAAAAAUAACACGAUUUCCAUUGGAAGAGUACCCUUUGCAGAGAAAUCGUGCUUCUUCUUAUUCCAAGUACCAUAACCAGCUGCUAUGGCUUCCAUCCGAUGUGGCAACCGAUUUCUCAGGAACCUCAGAAGUUUGUGACCAUCAAUCACAUCAAUCUUAAACUGUGUAAGCAUAGCUGGAUUCUGACUAGUCAAACACACAGCUUUGAGAGCAGCUUUUUGAGGACCUGUGACACGACGCUGAUUCUGGGUGUUGCGUUGGACCUCAUAAUCUGAGCCUCCAUUAAAAUUAUAAGUCUGACAAAGAAGGUCAUAUUCUUGAACCUCCACUCUGCAAUCAUUGCCAAGACCAGCAAGAAGAGCAACAAAGAAGGCCUGGUACUCUGAAUGAUCAAUCUUGGUUUCCAAGAAAUCAUGCGACUCCUUGAAUAUGUGAGGGUAAGAGAUCAUUGGAAUAAGGCCAGCAUAUACUGGAAAAAAUUUUAGGUCCUCAAAGUAAUUAUUCAUUAGCCAGAGAAGGUGAUUAAUAUCUGAUGGUAGACAAAGUCACCCACUGACCGUAAACAAUUUCCAAAUCAAGUCCGCUGCUGCCCUGGUAAUUGAGUUGUAGACGAGGAUUAAUAGCUGCAUCAUCCAGAUGUUGCCUUGUUAGAAUCCGUACGUGCCUCAGGUUUACCUUCGCUGAGGGAUACACACGAACGUUGCCUUCCGUAAGAACAACAACACAACCUCCUUCCAACUCAACCUUCCUUAACUUAUUGAUCAAAGAUCUUGAAGCCUUCUUACUGAUAUCAGAAGCAAGCUAAUACGAUUGAUGACUAUUCUCACCAGGAAGAGAAGGAAUACCACCGGCAGUUGUUGACUUAAAAUUCACAUUCAAGACCAUCUUAUUAUUCCUUCUAAAAGGAUCCCAGGUGACUCCACUAUCAGCAAAAAUAACAUGAUUCCCAUUGGGUGAGUACCCACUAGAGAGAAAUCGUGCUUCUUCUUAUUCCAAGUACCAUAACCAGCUGCUAUGGCUUCCAUGCGAUGUGCCAGCCGAUUCCUUAGUAACCUUAGAAGUUUGUGACCAUCAAUCACAUCAAUCUCAAUCUUUCUGAGCAUAGCUGGGUUGACUAGUCAAACACACAACUUUAAGAGCAGCUUUGUGAGGACCAUUGCAAUAAGACCAGCAUGUAUUGGAAAAAUUUUCAGGUCCUCAAAUUGAUUAUUUAUCAGCUAGAUAAGGUGAUUAAUAUCUAAUGGUAGACAAAGUCACCCACAGACCAUAAAAAAUUUGCAAAUCAAGUACGCUGCUGCCCUGGUAAUUGAGUCGUAGACGGACCUUAACAGCUGCAUCAUCCAGAUCUUGCCUUGUUAGAAUCCGUACGUGCCUCAGGUUUACCUUCCCUGAGGGAUACACGCAAACGUUGCCUUCAUUAAGAACCUCAACACAACCUGCUUCCAACUCAGCAUUCCUUAACUUCUUGAUCAAAGAUCUUGAAGCCUUCUUCCUGAUCUUAGAAGCACGAUAAUACGAUUGAUGAUUAUUCUCAACAGGAAGAGAAGGUAUACCACCGGCAGUUGAUGACUUUAAACUCACUUUCGAUUCCCAUUGGGUGAGUACCCACUCGAGAGAAAUCGUGCUUCGUUUUAUUCCAAGUACCAUAACCAGCUGCUAUGGCUUCCAUGCGAUGUGCCAGCUGAUUCCUCAGGAACCUGAGAAGUUUGUGACCAUCAAUCACAUCAAUCUCAAACUUUGUGAGCACAGCUGGAUUCUGACUAGUCAAACACACAGCUUUGCGGGACGCUUUCCGAGGACCAUUGCAAUAAGAUCAGCAUGUAUUAGGAAAAUUUUCAGAUCCUCAAAGUGAUUAUUCAUCAGCUAGAGAAGAUAAUUAAUAUCUGAUGGUAGACAAAGUCACCCACAGACCAUAAACAAUUUCUAAAUCAAGUCCGCUGCUGCCCUGAUAAUUGUGCCGUAGACGGACCUUAACAGCUGCAUCAUCCAGAUCUUGCCUUGCUAGAAUCCGUACGUGCCUCAGGUUUACCUUCCUUGAGGGAUACACGCGAACGUUGCCUUCAGUAAGAACAUCAACACAACCUCCUUCCAAUUCAGCCUUUUUUAACUUCUUGAUCAAAGAUAUUGAAGCCUUCUUACUAAUCUCAGGAGCACGAUAAUACGAUUGAUGACUAUUCUCACCAGGAAGAGAAGAUAUAUCACCGGCAGUUGAUGACUUUAAACUCACUUUCAAUACCAUCUUAUUGUUCCUUCUGAAUUGAUCCCAGGUGACUCAACUUUUAGUAGAAACAACACGAUUCUCAUUGGGUGAGUACCCACUAGAGAGGAAUCGUGCUUCUUCUUAUUCCAAGUACCAUAACCAGCUGCUAUGGCUUCCAUGCGAUGUGCCAGCCGAUUCCUCAGGAACGUGAGAAGUUUGUGACCAUCAAUCACAUCAAUUUCAAACUUUGUGAGCACAGUUGGAUUCUGACUCGUCAAACACACAGCUUUGAGGGAAAUUUUCCGAGGACCAUUGCAAUAAGAUCAGCAUGUAUUGGGAAAAUUUUCAGAUCCUCAAAGUGAUUAUUCAUCAGCUAGAGAAGAUAGUUAAUAUCUGAUGGUAGACAAAGUCACCCACAGACCAUAAACAAUUUCCAAAUCAAGUCCGCUGCUGCCCUGAUAAUUGUGCCGUAGACGUACCUUAACAGCUGCAUCAUCCAGAUCCUGCCUUGCUAGAAUCCGUACGUGCCUCAGGUUUUUACCUUCCCUGAGGGAUACACGCGAACGUUGCCUUCAGUAAGAACAUCAAAACAACCUUCUUCCAACUCAGCCUUUCUUAACUUCUUGAUCAAAGAUCUUGAAACCUUCUUACUGAUCUCAGGAGCAUGAUAAUACGAUUGAUGACUAUUCUCACCAGGAAGAGAAGGUAUACCACCGGCAGUUGAUGACUUUAAACUCACUUUUAAUACCACCUUAUUGUUCCUUCUGAAUUGAUCCCAGGUGACUCCACCUUUAGCAGAAACAACACGAUUCCCAUUGGGUGAGUACCCACUAGAGAGGAAUCCUGCUUCUUAUUAUUCCAAGUACCAUAACCAGCUCCUAUGGCUUCCAUGCGAUCUGCCAGCCGAUUCCUCAGGAACCUCAGAAGUUUGUAACCAUCAAUCACAUCAAUCUCAAACUUUGUGAGCAUAGUUGGAUUCUGACUCGUCAAACACACAACUUUCAGGGAAACUUUCCGAGGACCAUUGCACUAAGAUCAACAUGUAUUGGAAAAAUUUUUAGGUCCUCAAAGUGAUUAUUCAUCAGCAGCAGAAGAUAAUUAAUAUCUGAUGGUAGACAAAGUCACCCACAGACCAUAAACAAUUUCCAAAUCAAGUCCGUUGCUGCCCUGCUAAUUGUGCCGUAGACGGACCUUAACAGCUGCAUCUUCUAGAUCCUGCCUUGCUAGAAUCCGUACGUGCCUCAGGUUUACCUUCCCUGAGGGAUACACGCGAACGUUGCCAUCAGUAAGAACAUCAACGCAACCUCCUUCCAACUCAGCCUUUCGUAACUUCUUGAUCAAAGUUCUUGAAGCCUUCUUACUGAUCUCAGGAGCACGAUAAUACGAUUGAUGACUAUUCUCACCAGUAAGAGAAAGUAUACCACCGGCAGUUACUGACUUUAAACUGAAUUUAAAUACCAUCUUAUUGUUCCUUCUGAAUUGAUCCCAGAUUACUCCACUUUUAGCAGAAACAACACGAUUCCCAUUGGGUGGGUACCCACUCGAAAGAAAUCAAGCUUGUUCUUAUUCCAUGUACCAUAACAAGCUGCUAUGGCUUCCAUGCGAUGUGCCAGCCGAUUCCUGACGAACCUCAGAAGUUUAGGACCAUCAAUCACAUCAAUCUCAAACUUUGUGAGCAUAGCUACAUUCUGACUAGUCGAACAUGCAGCUAUGAGAGCAGCUUUCUGAGGACCAUUGCAAUAAAAUCAGCAUGUAUUGGGAAAAUUUUCAGGUACUCAAAGUGAUUAUUCAUCAGCUAGAGAAGGUGAUUAAUAUCUGAUGGUAGGCAAAGUCAUCCACUGACCAUAAACAAUUCAAAAAUCAAGUCCGCUGCUGCCCUGGUAAUUGUGUCCUAGACGGACCUUAACAGCUGCAUCAUCCAGAUCCUGCCUUGCUAGAAUCCGUACGUGCAUCUGGUUUACCUUCCCUGAGGGAUACACGCGAACGUUGCCUUCAGUAAGAACAUCAACACAACCUCCUUCCAACUCAGCCUUUCUUAACUUCUUGACCAAAUAUCUUGAAGCCUUCUUACUGAUCUCAGGAGCACGAUAAUACGAUUGAUAACUAUUCUCACCAGGAAGAGAAGGUAUUCCACCGGUAGUUGCUGACUUUAAACUCACUUUCAAUACAAUCUUAUUGUUCCUUCUGAAUUGAUCCUAGGUGACUCCACUUUCAGCAGAAACAACACGAUUCCCAUUGAGUCAGUACCCACUAGAGAGGAAUCGUGCUUCUUAUCCCAAAUACCAUAACCAGCUGCUACGGCUUUCAUGCGAUGUGCCAGCCGAUUCCUCACGAACCUCAAAAGUUUGUGACCAUCAAUCACAUCAAUCUUAAACUUUGUGAGCACAGCUGGAUUCUGACUCGUCAAACACAAAGCUUUGAGGGAAGCUUUCCGAGGACCAUUGCAAUAAGAUCAGCAUGUAUUGGGAAAAUUUUCAGGUCCUCAAAGUGAUUAAUUAUCAGCUACAGAAGGUGAUUAAUAUCUGAUGGUAGACAAAGUCACCCACAGAACAUAAACAAUUUCCAAAUCAAGUCCGUUGCUGCCCUGAUAAUUGUGCCGUAGACGGACCUUAAUAGCUGCAUCAUCCAGAUCCUGCCUUCCUAGAAUUCGUACGAGCCUCUGGUUUACCUUCCCUGAGGGAUAGACGCGAACGUUGCCUUCAGUAAGAACAUCAACACAACCUCCUUCCAACUUAGCCUUUUUUAACUUCUUGAUCAAAGAUAUUGAAGCCUUCUUACUGAUCUCAGGAGCACGAUAAUACGAUUGAUGACUAUUCUCAUCAAGAAGAGCAGGUAUACCACCGGUAGUUGAUGACUUUAAACUAACUUUCAAUACCAUCUUAUUGUUCCUUCUGAAUUGAUCCAGGUGACUCCACUUUCAGCAGAACCAACACGAUUCCCAUUUGGUGAGUACCCACUAGAGAACAAUCGUGUUUCUUCUUAUCCCAAGUACCAUAACCAGCUGCUAUGGCUUCCAUGCGAUGUGCUAGCCGAAUCCUCACGAACCUCAGAAGUUUAGGACCAUCAAUAACAUCAAUCUCAAACUUUGUGAGCAUAGCCAGAUUCUGACUAGUCGAAUACGCAGGUUUGGGAGUAGCUUGCUUAGGACUAUUGCGAUAAGACCAUAAUGUAUUGGGAAAUUUUUAGAUCCUCAAAGUGAUUAUUAAUCAGCUAGAGAAGGUGAUUAAUAUCUGAUGGUAGACAAAGUCACACACUCACCAUAAACAAUUUUCCAAAUCUAGUCCGCUGCUGCCCUGAUAAUUGUGCCGUAGACGGACCUUAACAGCUGCAAUAUCCAAAUCCUGCUUUGCUAGAAUCCGUACGUGCCUCAGGUUUACCUUCCCUGAGGGAUACACGCGAACAAUGCCUUUAGUAAAAACAUCAACACAACCUCCUUCCAACUCAUCCUUUCUUAACUUCUGGAUCAAAGAUAUUGAAGCCUUCUUACUGAUAUCAGGAGCACGAUAAUACGAUUGAUGAAUAUUCUCACCAGAAAGAGAAGGUAUACCACCUGCAGUUGAUGACUUUAAACUCAUUUUCAAUACCAUCUUAUUGUUCCUUCUGAAUUGAUCCCAGGUGACUCCACUUUUAGUAGAAACAACACGAUUUCCAUUGGGUGAGUACCCACUAGAGAGGAAUCGUGCUUCUUCUUAUUCCAAGUACCAUAACCAGCUGCUAUGGCUUCCAUGCGAUGUGCCAGCCGAUUCCUCAGGAACCUGAGAAGUUUGUGACCAUUAAUCACAUCAAUCUCAAACUUUGUGAGCACAGCUGGAUUCUGACUCGUCAAACACACAGCUUUGAUGGAAGCUUUCCGAGGACCAUUGCAAUAAGAUCAGCAUGUAUUGGGAAAAUUUUCAGGUCCUCAAAGUGAUUAUUCAUCAGCUAGAGAAGAUAAUUAAUAUCUGAUGGUAGACAAAGUCACCCACAGACCAUAAACAAUUUCCAAAUCAAGUCCGCUGCUGCCCUGAUAAUUGUGCCGUAGACGGACCUUAACAGCUACAUCAUCCAGAUCCUGCCUUGCAAGAAUCCGUACGUGCCUCACGUUUACUUUCCCUGAGGGAUACACGCGAACGUUGCCUUCAGUAAGAACAUCAACACAACCUCCUUCCAACUCAGCCUUUCUUAACUUCUUGAUCAAAUAUCUUGAAGCCUUCUUACUGAUAUCAGGAGCACGAUAAUACGAUUGAUGACUAUUCUCACCAGGAAGAGAAAGUAUACCACCGGCAGUUACUGACUUUAAAUUGAAUUUAAAUACCAUCUUAUUGUUCCUUCUGAAUUGAUCCCAGAUUACUCCACUUUUAGCAGAAUUCUGACUUUGUGAGCAUAGCUAAAUUCUGACUAGUCGAACAUGCAGCUAUGAGAGCAGCUUUUUGAGGACCAUUGUAAUAAGACCAGCAUGUAUUGGGAAAAUUUUCAAAUCCCCAAAGUGAUUAUUCAUUGCGUAUGACGCGCAUGUUCUUGAUCCAGCACCUAAUGGGGAUCGUGUAUUAUUUGCUGAUUAUCGUGGAAUCACUUGGGAUUAGUUUAGAUACAGCCAGCAAUUGGCCUUUGAUAUUGAUCAUAAUACAUUGUCAGGAGGUAUGCCAACUCUUCCUAGUGAGCAGGGCAGAGAUCCUUUUUAUUUAGCUGCUGAGAUAACUAAGAAGGCAAGUAGAUCGUUAAUCAUGCUUUUAAGGAAGAUUGAACUAGAAGGCAAUUGUAUUGAACUUAUUGAUCAUACCAAAGUUCGUGUCUAUGAGAACGGAUAGGUAAGGCUGUCACGCGUCCGUAUUCUAACAAAUCAAGAUUUAAGUGAUGCAGAAAUUGAGAAUCAUCUAAGGCUUAAUUAUAGGGCAGCGGCGGAUAUGAUUUUUAUGUUGUUUGAUGUCAAUGGCAAUAGGCAGUAUUGGCUACCACCAGAUAUGGAUCACCUACUUGGAUUGAUGUGGAAUAAUUUUGGAGAUCGAAAAUUUUUUGCCAUACAUGCUGCUCUUGUACCCAUUGUUUUGUAUCCCCACUUGUUUAAGGAACUGCACAAUUUCAUUUCAGAUAAGAUUAGGGAUUUGGAAUACCAUUACACCUGUGUUGCACUAGUUGCUAAUAUUCCUGAUUGGAGGCGUGAAGUUCAUAAUAAUGACCUCUUUUGUGAAACAUAUUUUUUUAAGAAAAUGUUUGGAUUUUGUUGUUCCAUACAACUACCCAAAUCAACUUCAUAUCAGAUGUGAUCAACUUUCAGCAGAAACAACACGGUUCCCAUUGGGUGAGUACCCACUCGAAAGAAAUCGUGCUUUUUCUUAUUCCAUUUACCAUAACCAUCUUCUAUGGUUUCCACACAAUGUGCCAGCCGAUUUCUCAAGAACCUCAGAAGUUUGUGACCAUCAAUCACAUAAAUUUCAAACUUUGUGAGCAUAGUUAGAUUCUGACUAGUCGAACAUGCAGCUUUGAGAGCAGUUUUCUGAGGACCAUUGCAGUAAAACCAGCAUGUAUUGGGAAAAUUUUCAGAUCCUUAAAGUGAUUAUUCAUCAGCUAGAGAAGGUGAUUAAUAUCUGAUGGUAGGCAAAGUCGUCCACCGACCAUAAACAAUUCCGAAAUCAAGUCCGCUUCUGACCUGGUAAUUGAAUCGUACACGAACCUUAAUAGCUGCAUCAUUCAGAUCCUGCCUUGCUAGAAUCCGUACGUGGCUCUGGUUUACCUUCUCUCAGGGAUACACGCGAACGUUGCCUUCAGUAAGAACAUCAACACAACCUCCUUCCAACUCAACCAUUCUUAACUUCUUUAUCAAAGAUCUUGAAGCCUUGUUCCUGAUCUCAAAAGCACGAUAAUACGAUUGAUGACUAUUCUCACCAUGAAGAGAAGGUAUACCACCGGCAGUUUUUGACUUAAAAUUCACAUUCAAGACCAUCUUAUUGUUCCUUCUGAAAUGAUCCCAGGUGACUCCACUUUCAGCAGAAACAACACGAUUCUUAUUGGGUGAUUACCCACUAGAGAGGAAUCGUGCUUUUUCUUAUCCCAAGUACCAUAACCUGCUGCUGUGGCUUCCAUACGAUGUGCCAGCCGAUUCCUCACGAACCGCAGAAGUUUGGGACCAUCAAUCACAUCAAUCUCAAAAAUUGUGAGCAUAGCUAGAUUCUGACUAGUCGAACACGCAGAUUUGAGAAAAGGUUUCUGAGGACCAUUGCAAUAAGAUCAGAAUGUACUGGAAAAUUUAUGGGUCCUCAAACUGAUUAUUCAUCAGCUAGAGAAGGUGAUUAAUAUAUGAUGGUAGAAAAAGUCACCCACUCACCAUAAACAAUUUCCAAAUGAAGUUCGCAGCUGCCCUGAUAAUUGAGUCGUACACGGACUUUAAUAGCUGCAUCAUCCAGAUCUUGCCUUGCUAGAAUCCUUACGUGCCUCAGUUUUACCUUCCCUGAGAGAUACACGCGAACGUUGCAUUUAGAAAGAAAAUCAACACAACCUCCUUCCAACUCAGCCUUUCUUAACUUCUUGAUCAAAGAUCUUGAAGUAUUCUUCCUUAUCUCAGAAGCACGAUAAUACGAUUGAUGACUAUUAUCACCAUGAAGAGAAGGUAUUCCACCGGCAGUUGCUGACUUUAAACUCACUUUCAAUACCAUCUUAUUGUUCUUUCUGAAAUGAUACUAGGUGACUCCACUUUCAGCAGAAACAACACGAUUCCUAUUGGGGAUCGUGUAUUAUUUGCUGAUUAUCGUGGAAUCACUUGGGAUUAGUUUAGAUACAGCCAGCAAUUGGCAUUUGAUAUUGAUCAUAAUACAUUGUCAGGAGGUAUGCCAACUCUUCCUGGUGAGCGGGGCAGAGAUCCUUUUUAUCUAGCUGCUGAGAUAACUAAGAAGGCAAGUAGAUCGUUAAUCAUGCUUUUAAGGAAGAUUGAACUAGAAGGCAAUUGUAUUGAACUUCUUGAUCAUACCAAAGUCCGUGUCUAUGAGAACGGAUAGAUAAGGCUGUCACGCGCCCGUAUUCUGACAAAUCAAAAUUUAAGUGAUGCAGAAAUUGAGAAUCAUCUAAGGCUUAAUUAUAGGGCAGCAGGGGAUAUGAUUUUUAUGUUGUUUGAUGUCAAUGGCAAUGGGCAGUAUUGGCUACCACCAGAUAUGCAUCACCUACUUGGAUUGAUGUGGAAUAAUUUUAGGGAUCGAGGAAUUUUUGCCAUACAUGCUGCUCUUGUACACAUAAUUUUGUAUCCCCACUUGUUUAAGUAACUGCAUGAUUUCAUUUCAGCUAAGAUUAGAGAUUCGGAAUACCAUGACAUCUGUGUUGCACUAGGUGCUAAUGCUCCUGAUUGGAAACGUGAAGUUCAUAAUAAUAACCUCCUUUGUGAAACAUAUUUUUUUAGACAAGAUUUGGAUUAUGUUGUUCCAUACAACUACCCAAAUCAACUUCAUAUCAGACGUGAUCAACUAGCUGCUCUUCAGGAAGUUAGUUUGAUAAAUCAGAAUGCAUUGAGGCUAACACAGCGUGAGAUUGAUAUUAUUAAUGGCCAUAAGCUUUUGAAGUUCAUGAGAAAUCGGUUGGCUCACCGUAUGGAAGCUAUACAAGCUGGCUAUACGACUUGGAAUCAGCAGUUUCAGUAUAAUUUCUCAGCUAUCAGUAGUGAGACGGUAACUAGAGUGAAUUUUCUCUAGCUCUGGCUCAAAUUCAGAUUAAUCUUUAUGAUAUGGGACAUGAUUUGGAGUGAUUUGGGUUGGAUAACUUGUUUGGGUGAAUUGGAUAACUUGUUCUAAAUGUCCUCUCAGGUAACUUGUGAUUAUGAGCUGUGUAAUUUCUAUGUUGUGUAUGCUGUGUGUGAUCUAUACUCUUUUUUGUAGGACAGAGAUGGCGAAGGACUGGAGUUAGCAAGGUGGAGUAGCUUGCUAGCUUUUUAUCCUUCUACGAGACACUCUAUUUAACCCCCUGUGGGACUAUGUAACCCGUAAUUGGUAGUAGUAUAGGGUGAGACUAUGUAACCGUAGUAGUAUGGUUUUAAACUUCUGUUGGAUUGGCUCGCUAACUUUUGGACUUUUUUGUGUGAUGACAGCACUCUCUGAAUGGACCCCCUAAUUGGUAGUAGUAGGGAUGCUACUGGUAGUUUUAAUUGCUGUGUUUAUGUUUAAAUUUCUAUGUGUUUAUGUUGUUUGAUGUCAAUAGCAAUAGGCAGUAUUGGCUACCACCAGAUAUGGAUCACCUACUUGGAUUGAUGUGAAAUAAUUUUGGGAUCGGGGAAUUUAUGCCAUACGUGCUGCUCUUAUACCCACGGUUUUGUAUCCCCACUUGUUUAAGGAACUGCACAAUUUCAUUUCAGAUAAGAUUAGGAAUUCGGAAUACCAUUAUAUCUGUGUUGCACUAGUUGCUAAUGCUCCUGAUUGGAGGCGUGAAGUUCAUAAUAAUGACCUCCUUUGUGAAACAUAUUUUUUUAGAUAAAGUUUGGAUUAUGUUGUUCCAUACAACUACCCAAAUCAACUUCAUAUCAAAUGUGAUCAACUUUCAGCAGAAACAACACGGUUCCCAUUGGGUGAGUACCCACUCGAAAGAAAUCGUGUUUUUUCUUAUUCCAUUUACCAUAACCAGCUUCUAUGGCUUCCAUGCGAUGUGCCAGCCGAUUCCUCAGAAACCUUAGAAGUUUGUAUCAAUCACAUCAAUCUCCAACUUUGUGAGCAUAUCUAAAUUCUGACUAGUCGAACAUGCAGCUUUGAGAGCAGCUUUCUGAGAACCAUUGCAAUAAGACCAGCAUGUAUUGGGAAAAUUUUCAGAUCCUCAGAGUGAUUAUUCAUCAGCUAGAGAAGAUUAAUAUCUGAUGGUAGACAAAGUCACCCGCUGACCAUAAACAAUUCCGAAAUCAAGUCCGCUGCUGCCCUGGUAAUUGUGUCCUAGACGGACCUUAACAGCUGUAUCAUCCAGAUCCUGCCUUGCUAGAAUCCGUACGUGCAUCUGGUUUACGUUCCCUGAGGGAUACACGCGAAUGUUGCCUUCAGUAAGAACAUCAACACAACCUCCUUCCAACUCAGCCUUUCUUAACAUCUUGAUCAAAGAUCUUGAAGCUUUGUUCCUGAUCUCAGAAGCACGAUAAUACGGUUCAAGACUAUUCUCACCAUGAAGAAAAGGUAUACCACCAGUAGUUGCUGACUUUAAACUCAUUUUCAAUACCAUCUUAUUGUUUCUUCUGAAAUGAUCCCACGUGACUCCACUUUCAGCAGAAACAACACGAUUCUCAUAGGAUGAGUAUCCACCAGAGAGGAAUCAUGCUUCUUUUUAUUCCAAGUACCAUAACCAACUGCUAUGGCUUCCAUGCGAUCUGCCAGCCGGUUCCUCAAGAAACUCAGAAGUUUGUAACCAUCAAUCUCAAACUUCGUGAGCAUAGCUAGAUGUUGACUAGUCGAACACGCAACUUCGAGAGCAGCUUUUCUUAGGACCAUUGCAAUAAGAUCAGAAUAUAUCGGAAAAAUUUUUAGGUCUGAGAUUGUGACGUGUGUGAGGUCCUUCUAGUUAUCUCAUAUAUUUAGCUGGAGUGAUUGUGACACGUGUGAGGUUUCCCUAGUUAUCCCAUAUAUUCAGCUUGAGCUUCAAAGGAUGAAUUUACUCAGUAAACUCGAUCUUAAUCCCCUUUUCAACGGAUCUACUUAGUGAAUUCAAUUCUCAAAGUUGUGUGAAAUCUCAUAAUCCAAACCUUUAUUUAAAUCCUCAACUUCUUGAUCAAAAAUAUUAACCUUUCUUCCAACUCAAUCUUUUUUUCAAGAUCUAGAAUCUUUCUUCCAACUCAAUCUUUUCUUCAAGUUAUUGAUCAAAGAUAUUAAAGCCUUCUUACUGAUCUCAAAAGCAAGAUUGAUGAUUAUUCUCACCAGAAAGAGAAGGUAAAACACCAGCAGUUGUUGACUUUAAAUUGACUUUCAAAAUCAUCUUAAUGAUCCUUAUGAAUUGAUCAUAGAUAACUCCACUCUCAGCAAAAAUAACACGAUUACCAUAGGUGAUGGAUCCGGAACAUAUUCAUCCUACACAAGGUAUGACUUAGCUGUAAAAAAAUAAAAAUCAGAUUAAAUUGUUUGUCAUAUAAUUGACGAAAAUGGUAAAUCUCUACUUCUAAAGAAAAGUAAAAUAGAGACUUAUUUUUCGUGGUUCUCCCUCUGCUCCGCUCCGUCACUCUCUCUCGGAUGUAUCUCUUUCCGUCCGAUCCCGCGACUAUCCUCCAAGCCAUCCCUCCGCCUCCUCCCCUUGCACGACCUGCGAAAGUCGUCCCUCCGCUCGCUCGCCCUGCGCCGUCCCUCCACAUCCUAUCCACGCGCACCCUGCAAAAGCCGUCACUCCGCCUCCUCUCGCUCGCCCUGCGCCGCCGCCCGCCCUCCUCACCUCGCGCACCCGAUAAUGCCACCACCGCUUGCCCUUGUCCUCGCUCUCCUCCGCCGAGGACUCCAUUUGCGCCACCGUUGUGCGCUGCCCCGCCAGAUCCACGGCGGAGGAGCCAAGGGACCCCAUCUGCACCGCCUCCGGGCACCGCCCAACCGACACGCUAUUCCUCUUUCGUUGCCACCACACCUAGUCUGCCAUGACUCUUCCGUUUGCCACCACGUCCGUUCGCUACCACGCUGGUAGACGUCGACCUUUGGGCACUGCUAUGCCGGUCGCACCGCCACCAAGCUCACCGCUACGGUAUUGUCGAGCCUACCGAAAAAACUAACCUCUUUCGCCUAUUUGCACAUCCCCAAUAGUUAGAUCCGUUUUUGGUAGUUGUUGAAUGCAUAGAGGAUAGUAUUAGUGAAUUUGGUUGUGAGAUUAUGAACGGCGGCCUAGAUUUGGCAUCUUUAUUUGGUGAUUAGCAAAUUUGCUCGUGUCAUUAAUCUCCUACUCCUCUUUGAGGUGGUCUUUAUCUCACUACGAAAAUGGCUAAUUGAUUGAUCAGAUUAGACAUGUCCACUAAAAUAGCAUCAUUCCUAUUUAAAUUUUCAAAUAUCUAGAUGUAGUAUUUCCUUUGUGUCACUGAAUGCUGCUUUUCACUUGAGGGAUUUUAUCAAUCUGGCGCGUUUGUGAAUAGGAGGUUCCUGCAUGUUUGUAUUGCAGCAUGUUUGUGUUUGUAUUAUCAGUGUCCAUAGGGCUGAGGCAUUUAAUUUAUCAUAUCAAUUAAGCUUCAAAUGACCCAAACUAAUUACUGUAACUGCUGAUUACAAUGUGAAAAUGCAAUACGACUACAUUUGUUGUUAUGAUUUUUUUAAUACUCUUUGUAGACUAUACAUGACUUUUGGUUCCAUAAUUCUCAUGUUCCCCUAACUCCACAUGCAGUUUUAAUUAUCUCCAAUUUUACAGUCCGUAGAUAUGGUUGUUAUCUUUUUUAAUGUGUUUUCGAUGGACUUAAUACAUAUGGAGAAAUCACAAUACUAGGUCUUAUUUUGCAUUAGUCUACAACCUAACAGCGCUAGCUCGGCUGCCGUGCACCUAAAGGCGCCAUCGGUAGGACAGGCAGCCAAGAAUAUUACUUCAUUUGCCCUGGUACGCACGCAUCUAAGCAUAUGAUCCAAAUCUGUGUGCACCGCUAAUGUCCUCCCCAUCCUGCAGCCAGAUCUAUACCUGAGCAUGUACGUCACUUAGCUUGCAGUUAUAGAUUUUCAGAAAUGUGGUUCUUACCUAUACUUAAGAUAGAAGGAACUGCUUACUACUUUUGGAUUGGUACAGUCAAACUUCAACCAAUGUAUGCGCUGCUCAAUUAUAGCUAUGUAUUAAACAUAUCUGGAGAAAAUUUAUUGAAAUUAUCAGUCACGACCACCAAUGUCUUUUGCUGCUUAAUCUUGCUUGACAUAAAGAAAGAAUAUAAAGGAUUAGUGUUUUGAUUUGUUCUGUUCUUGCUUGACAUAAAGAAAGAAUAUAAAGGAUUAGUGUUUUGAUUUGUUCUGUUUUGCCUAAUCAAGGAUGCCAUGUAGGAGCUGAAUUGUUCUUCCAUAUAUUUUCAAAUUCUUGCUACAAUUUCAGUGUAUGUCACAUGAUGGGUUAUUUCAAUUAUGUCUAAUAAUGGUGCAGCACACGUGACCUCAUUUCAUACUCUGCUCUAAUUUAGACUAAUCGUGUGUUCAUUUUGUGAUGUUCACCUAACGGUAUCAAUGCUUUGUACAGCACUAAUACUACCAAUCAACGGAAUGCAGGUAAUAUCAAUUCCCUCAUUCACCGCAUCAAGCUCAGCUGCUGGUGCGUACUAAUUCUUUUUCAGAAGGGCUUGCUCUUCUAAAAAAGUAUCUCCAACUCCCGUGUGGGAAAAUAUGAAAGGAAGGAUUGCUCAUCUGGAUUAACUUCCUGUCUUUUGCUUUUUGAUUAAUAUGAGCUUUGCAAAUUCAGUUUUGAACAAGAAACUACUUUGAAGCAACAGCAUUGGAGGAGCUGUACGCACGUGCUCCUGAAGAAUAGGCCAAGGAGCUUAUCGCCCAACUAGCAGAUUUCCAGGAGGUACGCCCAGCCUCAAAUAUUUCUCAUACACUUUUUUACAAGUAUAAUGGACACUAUUUGACACUUGAAUCCCAACUCCCAUCUAUUGAUGGCAGUUUCGAUAGUUUGCUGGCAAUAUAGUUUGCUGACAAGAUUUUUUUAUGGCAGUUUCAAUAGUUUGCUGGCAAGACUUUUCUUUCAGAACUUCAGCUUCAGGCCAUUGGAAAUGUUAGAUUCCAAAAGGACGUGAGGUUGCUUGAUUUCUCAUAGUUUGGCAGGCCUCAAAUGCACACAAUUUAGCAAUUAAAGUGUUGAUCGUUGUUGUUCCAUUCCAUGUUUACAGGAUUUUUUCCUGAUAUGCCACUGAAAUUCUGAACUGGUUUCCAUUACGUGUCUUAUCCAAAGCGUUUAGAUGAAGCUCUAAAUUUAGUAGGCACUCAAACUGAUUAGUUGUUCUGUAGAGCACUGAACUGUGCAUAACUCACUUUUAAGUCCUUAUCUGUUCACAAAAGUAGCUGACUGUCUAAUUCAUUUUUGGUGAGUGCAGAACAAGAUGCACUCCAAAUUAUACCAAGAGCAGCUCUCUAUCUUGAUAACCAUGUAGAUAUCUUCGAAUUUUGUCUGAAUUUUGUCAGGAUCAUUGCCCACAUCCAGCCUGAAUUUAGUUUGAUACCAGUGUGCAUUAAUUGAUAAAGUGAUCUACACUAAUAGUCUGCAAAUAGAAUUUUAUUACAUGUAGUUCUUGCAGCUGGGUCUAGGAAGGUACAAAUUUGGCAGGCAGAACAAUCAGCUUAUGCUAUGUGGGCGUCUGAUUUAACUAAUGGCUGGCGCCCCUAUCAUUUUAUUAGUAUCAAAAUUAUUCCUAAAACUAUGAGGAUAAUUAAUUAUGGUGGUGAAUGUAGAUUUUCUCAAUGUUAUUUCUUCUACUAUGUCCUCCCUUUAGCUGACCCUUAGACUAGGACUAUUCAGAAGUUAAAUGGAAGUUCAUGCUCCUAAAUUUCUAACAUUCCUUUCUUGGGCGCACCAUUGGAUUUGAUACUUUGCUGGACCAGGAUGGAGGGUGAGCUGCUAGAGCGAGAUGGAGGAGCAACAGCUAAGGCAACAGUUAGUGGUAAAGAAUUUAUUGUAUGGUAUGAUGCUGGAUGCAUUGAUAAUUCAGUGUCUUCAAUUUAGUGAUUUAGAUGCAGGGAAGAUUGCUAGGAGAUGGGCUGGCGUGGGGAUACAGCUGUUGUACAUAGAGGUUCUGUAGGGCUUAGGCACGAUUGACUCAGUUUCUAAUUUCAAUGUCCAAGGUAAUUCUGUUGUGCAUAGAAGUUCUGUAGGACUAACUGAUUGACUCAGUGUAAUAAAAAAUGCCCAUUGUAAUCUAUGCAACAAGAUCUGAAAAUAGGUGGAUUGAACGAUGAUUGAUGUUUGGAGUUCAUGUUAGCCUACAUGUGCAUAGAACAGUAAUUUGGUUCACUCGCCAAACCUACCUGUUCACCCUGCAGCACUAGAACAUCAACCUUUUCAUUAGUAAGCUGUGCAAAAUUUUCUUACACUUGCAUAACUUUAGGGAGUUUAUUGAAUCAAUAGUCAAAAAAAAAAUUCUAUGCACUAAUUUGGCUUUCUCAGUUCUAACUGAUUUUGUGCCCUUAUUUGGCUUCUCAGUUCUCACUGAUUAGUGAUUAGUUGUAGGAACACUAAUUUUGUCAUGGUGUUUGAUUUAGACCCUUUCCUAUUUACAAAGUGUGGCAUUGUAGCUCCAUCCCUCUUCUUAAUUACUUUAAAACUAGCAAGCUUCUGGAUUCGACCUUGUAAGCUCCAAUGCUCCAGUUAUGCUUCUCUGAAAAAACGGACAGAAUGCAGCAAAACCAUUGGGACCCUUGGCUGUAUUAUUCCAAUUCAUUAAUUGUUUCUAUAUGCAGGUAGGGCGGGCACAUCUAUAAGCGAGAAUCUUAAUUGAUUUUCCUUUGUAAUGCAUAGAUCAAAGCAAGAAAGCAGGAGGAUAACUCUGCAACAAUUUCCCCCUUUGAUUUCAAAUAAACUCUGAAUUGAUACCUCAUGUUCUUCGCUAAACUCUGAAAUGUUUCAUGCUCUCAUAGUUUUAUCGAUGAAAAAGUAAAGUCAUUGCGCUUUGUUACAGAUCCAUGUAGCUGAUGAGUUUUACCAUUUUUAGACCUUGGUUAUGAAAUUUUUAUUUUCAGACCAUGAGUGCACUCAUGCCUGAUAGCCAUGAUAUGAGUAGCUAUUACAGCCUCAUAUUAGGGUCAGCUCCCUACAAUUUAUUUUCAUUCCUAACAAUUCCAAGUGCAUAUUUAUAUAGUAUAAUAAUGCAAGUGCUUCAGUAUGUAAUUUCAAUUCCAAAUACAUGUUUAUGAAUAAUUUCAGCUUAUUUCCUCCUCAUCUGUCUACCAGGUUUUGGUGGUACCUUUAAAAAGAGAACAUGCAUAUAGCAGGCGGUGGUGGCAGGAGCAGGCGAGCGGCUGAUCGAUGGAGAACCAGGAGAGCCUCCACCGCAAUUACUGGACACCAUGGAGCGGCAUCGCAGUUUCAAAAGCAUAUUUUCAAACAGCCUCUAUAAUUGAUUAGUCCGCUCGAUCCGUUGCCUGCCAGUCUGCCUUAGGUCUCUUUGAUCCAACUGAUAAUGAUCACCAUAACACUGGUAUGAGUGCAGGUGUUGUGCGUGUGCAGGAAAAUCUGGAAGAAAACCCAGUACAAAAUUAAGACAACGAUGUCUUAGACAAUGCUGAUAUAUGCUGAUAUCAAGAUUUUGAUUCUGAUCUAAAAUAUUUUUGUUAUGUUCUUCCUAAUUCUUGCCAGAAGUUUACUUACUUUUUGUACUUUUUUACUUUUUGUCUGCGCACAAACAUGUUUCAUCUGCGCACAAAGCGAAAGGAAAUCAGAAACAUUCCUCUCGAUUUUAUCUUAGCCCCAUCACAGGCAAAAAUAUAAAAAAUUUGAUGGGCCUUGGAGACCAUGCAUGGUAUAUCUAGCUUUGUUUAAAUAUUUUUUAAUAUUCAUGCUUAUUUUCACACUAUUACCAUAUAUUGCAAUAUAAAUAUUUUGUAGCCCGUGGCAACGCACGGGCACGAUCCUAGUUAACAAAAACAAUAAAAAAUAAGCAAUAUAUAAAGCUAUAUCCUAAUUAAUUGAAUGCAAGGAUUUAAAAACAGACAACAAAUGUAAUCGGCAAAGACAACGGAUUAACAGAACAAGCAAAGAAAUGACAAGCAAUACAUAAACCUCUCAAAACACACUCAGCAUAAAAUUUUUGGACAAAUGUAAGCAGGAAGAAGGCACACAAGAAAUUACUACCUGGUCCAGGAGGUACUUGAGCCAUGGGGCAAGCUUUGAAGGUGAGUGCACGACGCAAAGCAAAAACAUUUGCAAAGUCAUACUAAAGCUACUGAUAAAACGAAACUGAGCCUAGAUGACUAAACUUCCAUGUCCUAACACACAUCAUUCAGACUGGGGACACAAAUUUUCAAUGAUACAUCUCUACAAUAGCAUUAUAACCCUACAGAUCCGAACAAAAACAACAAACCAAAGUGUCUUGGCAGCAAACCGGAUCUGGCAGAUCCGAACAAAAACAACCAAACCUAAGUGUCUUGGCAGCAAACCGGAUCUGGCAGAGAACCUAAUAAAAAGAUUCAAAUCUAACCAUCAUAAAACUACAUAUCGAACAAAAACAAUCAAACCCAACAAUCAUACGCUGAUCUCUUGGCUCAAAUAUAACCAUCACAAAACUACAGAUCGAAAAAAAAAAACAAUCAAACCCUGAUCCCUUGACCACAGCACAUACAGAUCUAUCAUCGGAUCGAACAGAAGAGGAGUGGUGACAGAAACUCAUACCACAGGAGCAGCCGACGGAGAUCUCGGUGAUGUCGUACGGGCCUCCGGCUUGCGGUGCACAGCAACAACGUCGGCCGCCAACUCGCGGUGCACAGCAACAACGUCGGUGCAGUCGUACCCGGCGGCUCCCGAUGCGCCGCGUGGGUCAUCGCCGCGGGAAUAAUCAAACUUGGGCUCGGUACAAGGGGGAGCACUCUAAGAGAGGAUGAGGAAGGGUUAUUCUCAUCGGCUCUGAAGAUGAAGAAGUUGUGAACUAAAGCUUCAGAAGGCCUUGUGGUGGCGACGCCGAGCAGGGCAAGAUGGCGGUGGGUCACCAGCAUGAUUAAGGGAUGCGCCUCGUGGGGACCCGGAAAGCCCGGUAGCUGCGCGUAGAGGCGGGAGAUGCGCGGGGGCUCAGCGAGGGAGAAGGCGAUGCGGAAGUCGGCAUCCCAGGAGGUGGUGCCGGACGCCCUGAUGGGCACCUCGGUGUCGUUGGGGAACAACUCAUCGUCGUCCCUGCGGAGGAGGUAGGGCUCCACCUUACAAAUCCCCCGGCCGGCAAGGAGAGGGGGAGGCGGAGGCGGAGGCGGCGAGAGGUGUGCGGGAGUGGCUGAGCGGCGGCUUCCGGAUUCCUCCAGAUCCAGAGACCAAAGAGGAUUUAGGGUUACGAAUUGGUGGGGGUGUUCCGGUGAUACGAGGCUUCCUCCUAUGUAUCUAUCGAUGCGUGGCCAGGCAAUCCGUAAUUAACGCGCCCGCGCCUCAGAAACCGGUCAUGACCGUUCGCAUGCCAGGCUGCGUGUAAUUAACGCGACUGCGCCUCAGAGACACCGGUCCGAAGUAAUAAAUAAAAGAUCUCUUUUUUAUUAUAAUAAAUACUGAUGCAUUCAAGAGAUGAGAGGCCUGCUCAAGAGCUCCCGUCAAACAAUGGCGCAACUAUGUUAUAGAAAAAAAAAUUGGCAACUACGAGGCCAUCCCUUGGCCGGAGUGUUUGAUCUUCAGUCCCGACUAAAAUUCAUGUCAUAACGAAUAUUUGAAAGCUAAUUAGAACUAAAUAUGAGCGAAUUAUAAAACUAAUUACACAAAUAAAAGCUAAUUCACAAGAUGAAUAUAUUAAGCCUAAUUAAUCCAUCAUUAGCAUAUAUUUAUUGUAGCAUCACAUUGUCAAAUCAUGUACUAAUUAAACUUAAUAGAUUCGUCUUGCAAAUUAGUCUCCAUCUAUAUAAUUAGUUUUAUAAUUAGUUUAUAUUUAAUACUUCUAAUUAGUAUCUAAACGUUCGAUGUGAUAGGAAUUUUUAGGAGAAAUUAAAAAACACUCCCCAGACAAUGUCAGUCUCGGUACCCACCGCAAGACAUAUACAUAACAAGACGCUGGUUUUUAAGCAACGGGUACCCACCGAAAGCAACGGACUCUUUGCGUCCGAUCGCCGGCCCAACAUGGGAGGCACGAGCCACGCUCCGCCUCGCCUGAACUCAUGCCCCGGGGUCGGGCGCCCCCGACCUCCGAAAGAACGAGCUCCGCCUCACCCGACCACGGGCCUGGGGUCGGGAGCGUCCGACCCCCCGCCACAGGCCUCCGCCUCGCCCGACUCAGGCGUAAGGGGUCGGGCUGCCUCGGGCUCUCCAGACUAGAAUCCGCCUCGGGCGUAGAUCCCGUGGGCCCCCUAUCGAUCUCGCCAUAAAUGCGCCGCAGAGCUGUCAGGGAGAGGGAUAUCCGCGCCCCCACACGACCCGCCGCAAGUACCCAUGCGUGGCCGUACAGUACUUGCUACAGUAGCUGCAACCCCCUCCGAUUGGCCACAGGGCACUCAUGACCUGCACCGCCCAGAGUAGGAGGAAGCCUCGCCCGCUCUCGUGCCCCGCGCGCCCGACGGCAAAGAUGAGAUGUCCGCUCUCCGCGGGCCGUUAGCAAGAUGGCAAGAUUCGCCGCUUCCCCCCAACGGACAGGGAGGUCACGACGAAACGCCAUCAUCCCACCCGACGGCUACAGUCGCCGAGGAAGCCAUCGACAGGACGCAACGGCGGCCAACCUCUUCCGACAAACGCGUCAGUGGAAGCCGAAGGCCGGCGGGGACACCGGCGGCCUGGGAACUUGCUUCCCCCUUCGUGUUGUAUUUUUUUACCUAGCCAUGUUUAUCUCUUUACCGCUCCCCACACUCGGUCUCGCCUGUAAUCCCGGUGGCCUCCUUACGCUAUAAAAGGAGAAUCGGGGGCCGGAGACAGGGGGGGACAGAUAACUCAAAGGACCCCAACGCUUCCUAGCGAAGUGAACACACUCACACCCACUUAGAGCCUCAGUGCACACCCAAGAGACCUGGAAUCAGCUCCCUCCCUCGCACUCCUGUAACCCCUACUACAGAACCCCGCGUGGGCAACACGAGCAGCUCCUGAUACUGGACGUAGGGCGUUCCUUUGCCCGAACCAGUCUAAACCCCGUGUCUCCCACGCCACCAUCCGAAGCCUUACGCGCAUAAAAGAAAUUUACUAGUCUAAGCCUUGAUCCGCUAAUUUUGACAACGACAACAUGGAUCAUGAUGAUGAUAAAGAUUUGGUUUGAUUUCUCCUGCUUAUUUUUAGCACCCGUCACAUCGAAUGUUUAGAUACUAAUUAGGAGUAUUAAACGUAGACUAUUUACAAAACCCAUUACAUAAGUGGAGGGUAAACGGCGAGACAAAUCUAUUAAGCCUAAUUAGUUCAUGAUUUGACAAUGUGUUGCUACAGUAAACAUUUGCUAAUGAUGGAUUAAUUAGGCUUAGUAGAUUCGUCUCGCCAUUUAGCCUCUACUUAUGUAAUAGGUUUUGUAAAUAGUCUACGUUUAAGGGCCAGUUUGGCAGGGCUCCGGCUCCGGCUCCGUGCGCUUACCGAAGCACGGAGGAGCCGGAGCCGCACCAAACGGCAUUGACCGCGAAGCCAUUUUUUGGCACAUUUGGGAGGAGCCGGAGCCGUUUUAGGCCUGCAUGGAGGAGCCCAAAAAAGUGGCUCCGCGGCUCCGGCUCCGGCUCCGCACGAGGAGCCCCUCGCGAGGAGCCCUGCCAAAGGAGCCCUAAUACUCCUAAUUAGUACUUAAAUAUUCGAUGUGACAUGUGUUAAAAAUAAGUAAGGAACCAAACAUCCCCCGAGGCAAGGCGGGCGUGCGGGCAGGCGGGACCAAGAUUUUUUGGAGCAUUUACCCGGUGACCGUGAGGUGGACCGAGCUGGGGGUUUGCCCGCGAGAAUGCCAUCUUCCGCUUCCGCCCAACAGAGGAUAACAAGAGAAUCCGAUAGUAAUAACAAGUGUUUUCGUUUUGCCACCAACCGCUAGCAUCGUUUUUUUUCCCGUAAAAGUUGAUUAUCUCUUUUGUCGCAAAAAAAUAUGUCGUCGUCGUCCUUCCAUCCCCAAGAGUUAAAUAUGAUUUUUGAAGCGGAUUCUCUUGUUAGUUCUUAAAUAUGGUUUUGAAGAGUUAAAAAAUAUGGUUUUAAAUAUGGUUUUGAAGCUGAUUAGUUCUUAAAAAAACUUAAUCAACAAGAAUUGUAUGUUUCUAGUUAUAGUAAAGAUGUACAUGUCACGAGUGUUUUUUUAAUAAAGACUAGAUGUAUGCCGCUUCGAGAAUCGAAUUUUUUUCCAACAUAAUAAAAGGAGCAUGAAAAACAUUAUUUUGCGAUCACAAGAAACUAAAUCUAUCUGAUUUUAGUAACAUGUUUUGUUCAUCCAUAUUGGCAUACAUAAGCAUAAGUUUACCUACAACGCCGUCAAAGCAAUCAUAUAAGCAAUAUAAAAAAACACAAUUAUAAAGUAAUAACCCAAGCACACCUUAUAUAUAAAUUGUUGACUUUGUAACCAAAGAGAUGUUGGCAAAAGUACUGAAACUAAUCACAGAACCAAAUGUUAAUUUUAAUAACUUGGGCUCAUCUAUCAGCUUGGACUUUGCUUGUACAUAAACUUUUGUGGCCAUUGCAUUGAUCGAACCAUCAAGAUUUGCAAGAUAUAAGUUACUAUUUGUGAAGCAAAAUUCUUUUCUACGGGAGAUUGGGUCUGACCUAUGUCUCAAGCUUUAUUAAGCCAUAAGAAAAUCAAUUUACAUCAUCAUGCCACGCUCCCAAAAAUGUUGACCUUUCACCCCACUGGCAAAUACUGACAAUCUAUAUGAUUACAGAGUUGUCCCUGCGACACUCUUCCAUGUAAUCUCGCCAUCGCCGACACCCACAAACCCUCAGGCGUGACAGCAUAAAGACUAGGGGUUGUCUGGGAGAAGGGGCUAAACUUUAGUCCUAUCACAUCGGAUGUUCGGAUACUAAUUAGGAGGACUAAACAUAAGCUAAUUACAAAACUAUUGCAGAACCCCUAGGUUAAAUCGCGAGAUGAAUCUAUUAAGCCUAAUUAACACCACAAUGUCAAAUCAUGGACUAAUUAGGCUUAAUAAAUUUGUCUCGCGAUUUAGCCUAGGGUUGUGUAAUUAGUUUUGUAAUUAGUCUAGAUUUAAUACUCCUAAUUAGUGUCCAAAUUUAGCCCCCUCCUCCCAAACACCCCCGUAGCAACAUACCUAUGUGCAAUUGGCGGUGACUGUCCAUGCAUGGCAAAAACAGCAUUUGCAGACAUCUCUGAAAAUUAAAAGCGCCUUCUUCUCCUCGUAGUAACCGCUACCUCUGCUCUCCAUUGCACUCACCAUGGACUUCUCGCAGAACUCCAUCACAAGAACUGCCUCCUCUGUGCGCCCCAUAUCAAAAACAUCAUGUGCAACAAGUGUGACCACGUUAGGAUGCCCUUUGAGGAGCUUCGUAACAUGAAUAUCCUUCAUGACAAGAUCAAGCGAUUCCUAAUCAUUGCAAAUAAUGUGCAUCAGCUGCUUGCGAGCAUUUGCUGUAGAAAACUACAUCACUUAUAACUUGACUAGACAAGAUCUUUUGCAUCUAAAAACAUGAACACACAACACCGUUCGACGAUCCGGCCAUCUUAGUUGAUGCAGGGCUGGUGAAGGAGAUGUAGUCGUAGUCCAUAGAUGAUCUCGUCUUCCCUCCGAUCUCCACCUCGUCUGUCCGGGGAGGGUGAGGGUGUACUGGCGGCGGCCUUCACGGGACUCCAGUGCCGCCAGGGAUCGGGUGGCGUUUUGGGGGCGUGCGUGGGUUUGAGCGCGUUGGCAUCAUCCAAACCGAGCCGGCGCCCCCUUUUUAUUGUGGCGCUGGGUAACCUGGGGCCACAACCAAACGUGGGUCGCGUCUCCGAUCAAAGCGCGAUGGUGGGCUCGGGGAGAUCGAGUCCGACUCAUUUUCUUUCUUUCUCGUUUCUCUUUCUCCCUACCUUUUGACUACCCAAAAUUUCCAACAUUUGCUUCUGCCAACUGCGCAGACCAUGCCCUUCUGCAUGGUGCGGAUGCAGAAGAAGCAGGCGCAGCCCCAACCCUACCCCGUGCUGCUAGAGAUCAUGGAGCACGAUGGGUGGAAGCUUGUCGUCGAGGAUGUGAUUGGACACCCUGAUUAAUCUACAUGUUGGGGUUGCUGAAGAUCGCCCUGAUCAAACUGUUGUUGCAAUGCAAAGGAUCACUUUGGACGGUAUUCUGAUGGUAGCCGUGCGCAGGGGUCUCAUGCCGAAUCGGUAGAGCAGGCGACAUCUGCUGCCUAGUGCCUAGAGUGCUUGUUCGAGAUCCAGUUUAUUUUUUCUGAAAGAUGGAGGAUGAAGUUUUUUAUAUAAAGGAAUUAAAAUGCCAACCUCCACACUGACCAACGAGUGUAUAUAGCCUCCAUUACAGACUAAAAGUGGUACUUAGACUACAAAACACCAUAUAAAAAGGUUUCAACAUGAACGCUAUGAAAGAAAGCUAAGCUUCAAUGCUGAACUUCCAACUAAACUCGCUGAAGAGCUCCAUAACGAUAGUCUCCAAUUUCCUACAUCUCUUCUUCAAAAUGUCUCUACAUCUCUUCUUCAAAAUAUCUCUCUCUUCCUCUAUAAAUAACAGUGACCAACUUCGGAUCCAAUAAGUCCCCUGAAAAUAACCUGCAUGAAAGAAUUAAGUAGUAGUUCUAUUGAAAACCAUAUCAUUUCUACUCAACCAAAUAGCUCAAUAUAGAGCCACUGCACCUACUAAAUUUGGGAUUCUAAGCUAAGAAGAAAAACCUUUUGAGCCAAGAGCCAAACAUAUUAGAUACAUUUGAAGUUGGUUGAAUAUUACAAGUAAUGCAUAUGGUAUUACAAAUAAACAUAGCCAUAUGGCAAUCAAAAAACAAGUGAUGUCUACUUUCAUUUGCAUUGACAAACAGCAAUUAACUAGGACUACCUUGCCAAGUCUCUUGGCCAAAUUAUUUUUAGUGAGAAUCACACCUUUUUUCAAUACCAACGGAAAAUUUUAAUGAUACUUUGCAUCAUCAAUUUUGGAUUCCAAGAAAUCAUGCAACUCCUUGAAUAUGUGAGGAUAAGAAAUCAUAGGAAUAAGGACCAGUAUGUAUUGGAAAAAUUUCCCAGUACUCAAAGUGAUUAAUUCAUCAUAUGGUAGACAAAGCCUUGCACGAACCAUAAACAAUUUCCAAAUCAAAUCCGUUGUUGUCUGGUAAUUGAGUCGGAGACAAGUCUUAAUAACAUCCAAAUCUUGCCUUAAUAACAUCAAUUAAAAUAACAUUUGAGUUAACUUAUAUUUGGUACAUUAAUUUACAUACCAAUUGGAAAAAUAAAAUCGCCAUGCUCUUAGUUUGAAUAGAACGUAGUCCACUUUUCUUUCCAACUUACAAGAGUUUUAUUACACCUGAAUCAUCUCCACUUUCCAAUGUAUCUUCGAUUCCACUGUGCUAGUUUGGUCCUUCCAAAUGGGAAAAUGAAUAGUUCUCUUUUGCAUACAGAGUGAAUAUAGCAUGUAAAUGACAGAUGUAUUUGAGCACUUGCAUUACCUCUCUCAUAUCAGAUUUUGGCACACCAUGCCUAGUGUUCUGAAUUCUGAUGUAUAGCAACGGGUUUCUGAUCUUCUGAACAUUGUGAGAUUCUACAUACGGCUGUACUCUCCCUCACAAUUGCAAAACACUUGUCCAGCUCUCCACAUUCAGACUGAAUCCUCGCAACUGAACAUCUGAAAGUACUCGGAUCAGUGUUGCAACCAACAGGUGUUCUUUUGACAGGGAAGGUUCCCUUCUUGGUUAUGGUUAGCUUUGUUCCUAAGCACGAUGAUGACGUCCAUACCAAUUUUGAGACAUCUGGAAUGUUGUUCUCAAGUACCAACGAUAUUCUUUUGUGAUCCCAGUGAUAUCAAAGUGUAGUCAAAUAUUUGUGUUGCUCCACGAGCUGAAAUUGGCUUGAAUCUGGCAUAGUUUUGUGGUAUUUCUCCAUGUCUAUAUAGAAGUAAAAAUAAAUGCUUCUUCACGUGACAGCUAUCCCUUUUGAUUUAUAUGGAAAAUAGAAACAAAUGCUUCCAGGUGCCCAUGAAUUUGAUCCGACCCGCAUUGUUUUGCACAAGUUAUCCCUUUUGAUCAUCCCGUGGCUCCACUGCAGGAGGCAGAGGAGGAGAGAAGGAUGGAUGAGAGUGGCGGAUGCUGCUCUAUACUGCAUGCUCAUCAUGGUGUCAGAGGAGAGGAGCAUCACUGCAUCAGGUGUCAGAGGAGAGGAGCAUCAGGUGUCAGAGGAGAGGAGCAUCACUGCCGCCGGCCAUGGCAGGUUUGUCAGUACCACGCAAGUUCUGAUGUAUCACAUACACAGCAGGUUAUUGGUUUUCUGGUUAGUGGAAUUCUUUGCCCGCUGCCUCAAAAUCGGUACAUUGUACUAGUUGAUAUUAUUUCUUGCACAUGUCAAGCUAUCCUGAAGCUGGCAUAAUUGUGCAGCUCUCCACUUUCAGAAUGGAUCCAAAGCUGAACAUCUGGAAUGAUUCGGAUAAGAGUGUUGCAUUUGCAACCAACAACUGUCAUGUCCGUACAAUAUAUUUAUGGGUUCAGAUACUCAACCAACCAUUGUGCUUCUGUGCAUUUCCAACAAAAUGCAUGCUUCUGAAAAUGUGUCCAACCAUAUAUCGUUGCUCAAGCUUUGCCUGGAUUGGCAGUUAGAAUCUCUUUCAUAGGGAAGGUUUCCUGCUUGGUUAUGAAUAGCUUCGUGUCCCUAAAACCAAGCAUGAUGAUGUUGCUCAUACAAACUUUGGGACAUCUGGCGUGUCCAUACAGAUAUUUCUUUUGCUCCAAAAGCUGAAAUUACCUAGCAUACUUGUGCAGUACACCUCCAUGCCUCUGUAAAACAGAAAGGAGAGAUUCUUCAUCUUGCAGUGCACAUAGCAUUUCUCUGUCAGACUGCAUAUCAGUUUCCUCUCUGUCAGAUUGUAUAUCAAUCUCCGAAAAGCUUCUGCCAGAAUGUAUCAGAACAAAGAUUCCAAGCCUUUGCUCCGGUGGUACAUAUAAAAGGGCAGCAUCAUCUGAAUGCCACCACACAAAGUAAGCAGUCAGUAAACAGAAGAAACCUCAAGUCUCAGCUUCUGAAGAAACGAUCACCGGUAAACAUAUCACUACUUCAAGUCUUCAACUUUCCCUGCAUUUGCUUUCAUCUGCACUCUUUUCUGUAACACAUCUAUAUAUGCUGUUCCAAAAUGAAUGAUCCUCUUGAACAUUUGAUGGCUCUACUGCAGAGAGGAGAGGAGGAUGAAGGUAGGAGAGUUGCACUGCGAACUGGAACUCGUACAAGAGCAAGCACACUUGACAAGUGGUGGUUCGUGAGUUGCCAGUGAAUAGUGAGGUCGGUCUCAUCCCAGACAGAGUUUCACUGCAGUGCAAUGAAUUGACUGUUUACAGUUAUCGGCGACAAUAAUACAAGUAGAUCAUGCUACAUUUCUCACCCAGUCUGGUGCAAACACUGGGCAACUUAUUAUGGCAUACAUAUAUUCUUUACAAUUCUCUUUCUGUCUAAUUUACGCUGAAUGCAUGUGUCGUCGACAUAUUAAAGGACGUAAUAAUCAGGGGGAGGCACGAUUUGAGGUAAGGGAAGCAAUGAACAAAGCAAAGUAGAACUCAUAACCAUGUGAUUAUAAAUUACCUGCGGCGGUGGCAAUUUGGACAACGGCAGCGGCGUGGCUGCGGCGACGUCGCGCAACGUCUCAACUCUCAUAUCCGGUCUCCCAGUAGCCCGUCCGGAAGUACCACCGUCGAGUGGCCGCGGUGUCCGACGAACUGGCAAAGGAGAAGAUCGAAAGACCGAAGAUGAAUAGUCGAAUGGACAGAGUCACAACGCUUGAUGCUUCUUAUUCCAAACAAUAACGAAGGGAGAAGGUGAGCUGUAGAUAGGCUUAAAUGGGUUCCUUCUUAUUAGGCCUCUAAAACAAUUAAUGUUUGGAAUGAAUGGGAGGAGUUGAGGAUCUGAACAGCUAAUACGUACAUGUAUAUUUAUAUCAGAAUACAGAGGAUCAGUAGCGCGUGAGGGGUGCCAGGCCCCUCCCCCCUCCCUCCGCCGCUGGUAAUAAUAUUUUGACUGAAUGAUCAAAAUUACUGAGCCUCCGGAUACUAGCAUUGCGCAUCGAUUUUCCGUGCCUCUCUUCUUGCUGGACUGGCCUGGUCAAGCCCAACAGGCCGAGGCCCAAGCGUAGCCCAACAUCACCUCCCACCAGUGUUCUCUCGCUGACUAGUGGGACCUCCCUCUGCUCCGCCUUCUUCUUCUUCGUGCUCUUCCCCUCCCGCGGCCGGUCCGCCGGUGGAUGCGCUGCUCCUCCACCCCGCUUCCUCUUUCGGUGGCGGAGUUGACUCAAGAUAUUAGCCGGGGCAGAACUCAUCUUGACCUUGCUAGCAUAGAUGCCAACCGCUGCCGCUCCACGACGUCGUUGUCUUUGCUGCCUAGGAGGGGGUUGGCCGGUGGCCGGCGAUAGCCGGAUCCCCUGGAGCACCAGAGGUGGUGGUCGGCGGCUGUUGCAUCGAGCAAAGGAUUGGACGGUGAGCAGCAGACAGAACACCUCAAGUUGCAGUUUCUCAAGAAACAAAUCCUUGGUGAGCAUCUCGUUUCUGCAACUGUCCAGAUUCUGCGCAAUCAAGAGCGUGGAUGCUGCGGUCGGUGGCAGCGAGUGCUCCAAGAUCUGCCUCGCCACCAUGCCGCAGUCGGUCGUUUCGUGUUCGUAGGUCCAGGCGUCCAGCGACAUUGUGCUGAGUUUUCAUUCCCUCACAAAUUGUUUUUCAUGUGUCAUGGCCAACUGUGAUGCUGGUGUAGCUGCAGCAUGUGCUCAUGACUGCACAAACAGCAGGAGCCGUUGCAAAAACAAACGCAGUUGAGAUGUGAUGAAUAAUGAUGCCUCGUGUAUAAGACUGGUAACGGCCUUGUAUACCCAAGGGCCGCACGGGCCUCCGAACUCAUGGGCUGUGAUUUACGGAUUCUACAUAGGCUCGUGUAGUGAAGGGCCGAAUCAAAUCGGACUCCUUGUUAAAAGGACUAGAUUGUAGCUGUGGCUCGAGCUCAACGUGUGGAUCGUGGCCCGCGGAUCAGAUAAGGGCCUUUAUGUUAUCAGGUCCGCGGAAAACAGCGAGGGGCCGGCGGCGGCGUUGUAUACCAGGCUUAUACGCGAGAUGGUAGCAGCGGCGGCGGCGGCGUUGCGGGGUGGCCUGCGACUCCAAGAUCCGGCGGCGGCGAGGGGCUGGCGGCAGCGCUGCGAGGGGCCGGCGCGGCGCUCAUCUCCAAGAUCCGGUGAGGGGGGCCUGCGCGGCGCCUCGGCCGCGCCGGUCCCGCGCCGCCUCCGCGCGCGCCUCGGCCGGUACGAACUGUCCAUACUCGUCGUUUCUUGUUCUUUUCUCUCUCCCUUUUUACCGUUCAGAAUGUGCUGCUAUUGUGCUGCUAUGCACUUCCUAACAGAACAGAACUUUCAGGCUAACACGCAGUUCUGAAUUGGACCCCUAUCAUUCAUUUUUGCUGGUUCCUGAUAACUGCACGAUAAUGACCGACGAAAUAUGUGUUGUGCUAGACUGAAUCAACACCAAAUCAACCAUGUACAGCCGUGUGGUAUAUGCUCGUUACUGAAUUUGCUUUUGUGGUGUUUCAUUCUGCACAGGCACACAGCUUACAUGCUUUAGUCGUAGGCUCAUAGCCACUUGGCCAAAUUCCGGUGAUAUAUAUUCAGUAGUUCUAAUUUUUUAUGUAAUAAUUGUGAUUCCUUUUGUCCUGAUGAUGCAGGAUGACGAUCACCGGUGGUAGUUCCUGGACGGCGGCGACGACAAAACAAGCGGUAGCCUGCCUUCAGGGUUACGCAACAAUGGAGACGCACGCUAUUCUCUGGUUGAAAAGAAAGGAAACAAAUAGCACUUUGGUUUCCGGUCGAAGAGAACGUCACCCUCCGAUGUCUAUAUUAGAUACCUGAUUUCGGACAACAUAUUAUGGAAACAUUGGGGGGGGGGGGGGGGGGGGGGCGCUUCCGGGAUUGGAAACGUUUUCAAUUAUCUAGGAUCUUUGUACUAUAUUUAUAGUAAAAUGCUCGUGCGUUGCUGCGGUAAAAGGUUAAUUGUGUUUUUUAAAUUAAUGAUAUUCUUUAUUUUCAUCACUAAAUUUUUAUUCCACUUUGAUGUCUACAUAUUUAAUAGAAAAUCAAAAAAAUUUGACUUAAUAUUCCCUCAACUCAAAUAUCCAUUAAAUUAAAACAUUUUUCUAUUCAAGUAAGAGACCACUGACAGGUAGAGAUGUGCUUUAAAAUGGAGAAAAAUGAAAAAUAAUAAAGAGUGAAGUCGGCUGAGACAAGCCUGAUUUUGAGCCGUCUAACUCCUUCGGCCCAUAACAGUGCACAACUUUUAGCUAUUGGAUGGAAUUGACGGCUGAGAUGAUCCGCUCAUCUCUACUUAAUAUUAAAGCGAGUAACAUCUGCCAAAUUUUUUCGUCUGUCUACAGUAAACCGAAAGAAAAUCGUAGAAAACCAACAUAAAGGAGUGAAAACCGGACAAAAACCAUCUCACAUGAAUCGGAGAAAAAAACAUUUUUUCAAUGUUCAUUUUUGGUUAGCAGUAUACCUCCCAUCAGAGGCUUCUAGAAGGAUCUCCGAGAUGAGAUCUUCAACGAUGCGUGACCUAACUAAUUGAUGGCUCGCAGAGCUUGCAAUUUGCAAGGUAGCUAGCCAUUGGCCGAAAUCCCAUCGACGAAAUUACUAAUUUACCUUUUUUUUUACCCCUACAAGUACAUCCGCAAUGCUGAUUCCACGCGUGCCCGUAAGCUCGCUUGCGGCAGGUCGAUGUCCACCGCCCCUCCUCAACAGACAAGCACAUGGUGAAGCCUGCACACCUUAUCACUUUCGUAGAGUGCAUCACCUCCUCUCUUCUCUCUUCCAAUCCAAAUCGCUCCUCUCCAUGCUCAACCUCCUCGCCCUUAUGUGGAUUCAACGAGCCGGCCGCGGCGAGCUCCUGUCCCUGUUGAGCAGCGGUGCGCCCCUCCGGGGCGAGCUCAACCCUGGCCGGGAGCGGUGGCGUGCGGCCCCCCAAGGCGAGCUCACCCGCCUAGAGCGGCGGCCCGCAGCCUCCCGAGCGAGCGUGAGCCCCGGCGAUGAGCUUCGCCACCUGGAGUGCCGGUCCAAGAAGGCGAGCUCCGCGGAUGAGGCGGCUCGGGCACGGCCGGGCCCGAGGCGGUUGGCCGCAAAGCUGCGUGCGGGGGAAGAAAUGAACACGGAGAUGGAAAGGGAGCCAUGCCGCGAACGGAAUUAAAUAGAGUGAAAUAGAGACCCACUUGUCAAUGACAAAAAUCACAACAAAAUAAUGAUUGGACCCAUCUGUCAAUGAGAUUAGGUUGGACCAAACCAAAAGGUAGGUAGAAGUGUUCCUCAUAUAGAAUAAUAUAAAUAAUAUAUAAUAUAAUAAUAAUAUAUAAUAUAAAAAUAAAUAUAAUAUAUAGAUAUAGAUAGAUUAUCAGUUUUCCCAUCUCAAAGCUCAAUGGCCCAAACUGCAUACAGCCUUGUAUACAAACAAGUAGCCCAUCAUCAGUGGCAGUGGGUCAACAAUUUCGGCCGCGAGGAAACGAAUUAGGCCUGGAGCAGGCCGUGGGCUGACCCAUUCGAUUUCUUUCAAUAGGUCGGUAACCGACCAAUAGAUACGUAGGAAGAAGCCUCGUACCACCGGAACACCCCCAACAAUUCGCCGCUCCCGCACACCGCCUCCACCUCCCCCUCUCCUUGCCGGCCGCGGGUCUCCAGCAUCUUCGUUGGUAAGGCACCUCAUCAGUCAUCACUGUUAGCUUCGAACCGGCGUUCCUGAUGCUCGGCAAGCUCGCGAUGGCAAUCGCUGGAACACAGAAACACUAAAACUCAAGAACACUUGGAACUCGGAGGUUUUUGGUGCUGCGUAACGAACUGCAGCAUUUUCUAUGUAUUUUCUUUUUAUUCUGUGAAUACAAAGAAUAGGUCCACGCAGUGGCCAGCCAUGCACCAUGCAGCGAGCACGUCCAUCCCCGUGCCCACGAUGCCGCUGAAUCACCGGUGAUCCUAGGGUCGUGCGCGAGCUAUUCUCGCCACCCCUUCCUACGCGCACGGUAGCCACAGGUUGGUGCUCGUGCGUAUGCAAUGCAGAAACAGAACACAUGCAAAGCUAACUAACUGACCGACUCGUGCGCUAGGAUUACUAACAAUCACCUUACACAUCCCCCGAGGUUGGAUUUCCCCUGGCCCUUCUAAUUUAAUUUCCCGGUCUGCUGCUGUCUCAAGGUCGCCAUGUCCGCCGCCGCCGCCGGGGGGUUCCCCAAAUGGGUGCUUCUGGAGCCCUACGUCUUCCGUAGGGACGACGAUGAGUCCUUCCCCGACGACACCGAGGCGCCCAUCAGGGCGUCCGGAACCACCUCCUGGGGCGCCGACUUCCGCAUCGCCUUCUCCCUCGAGGAGCCCCCGCGCAUCUCCCGCCUCUACGCGCAGCUGCCGGGCUUUCCGGGUCCCCACGAGGCGCAGCCCUUAUUCAUGCUGGCGACCCACCGCCAUCUUGCCCUGCUUGUCGUCACCACCAGCAUCACCAUGACCACCACCACCACCAUCACCCCGAGACCUUCUAAAGCUUUAGUCAGAACUUCUUCAUCUUCAGAGCCAACGAGAACAACCCUUCCUCAUCCUCUCUUAGAGUGCUCCCCCCUUAUACCGAGCCCAAGUUUGAUCAUUCCCGCGGCGAUCACCGCCUACGUCGUCGACCUUCCAAUGCUACUCCUACUCCCCGCCUGCUGGAUAUGAAAUCCUUGGGCCUAUGGUGCGGAGACAAAGAGGAGUUCGUGGUGGCACAGAUACCCACCAUUGACCGCAGCCGCACUGAGGCCUUCGCUGACAUCUGCUUGCUGCGCUCCUCCUUCACUGACGAUCAGCUUGGAGGCAAAUGGGACUCCAUGCGUGUGCCAAUCCUGUCCACUCACAACCCCUCUGUUCAUGAUCUCUUGAAAGUCUCCCGCUCGCAGACCACCGCCGUCAUCCCCUUCCAACGAUGGCUGUGCUGGAUCUAUAGCCGAGGCAUACUCUUCUGCGACGUGUCCAAUAAAGUGCCCGCCCCUACCGCCUCCUUCCUCUGGUUCCCUGUGGACAAGUCCCCUCUUACCAGAACCCGCAAAACCACAUACGACAUCGGUGGCGUGUCCGUCGUCGACCACGGCCGUUUGCUCAAGUUCGUCGAUGUCGCCCGCCAUGAUGGCCUUGCCUAUGGAGCGCUCGAACCCGGCACUGGCUUCACCAUCACCUGCCACACCCUCGUGUUAGGCGGCAGCAUGGCGUGGAAAGAGGACUACACUGUCACCUCAGAUGACCUCCCUGACCGCUACCAACGCGGCAUCCCCAUGCACCCUCAAGUCGACAUUGACAGGCCACAUGUAGUGCACUUCCUUUUCAUUGAGUUUGGAAAAGCCUACGAGAAGAUGUCGGUGCUCUCUAUAGACAUGAGCACUAAGACCGUGGAGUCAUUUUAUCUGUAUAUGGAUGGGAAUGAGAUCCUUCACGACUACAGUGGGUGCCUUCAACCCGACGACGACAUUGACUUCAUCAGCUCAACGUCCUCGUAUCCCACUCCCUUGCCCUUCCGCCCUUGUGAGUUCCCCAGGUUCUGCUAUUUAUCAAGGUAUGUAAUAUUGCUGCUGCCCUUUUAUAAAUAACUCAAUAGAUUUUGAUUCUGCCGGUUCCAUAUUUGAAUAUUGCUGCUGCCCUUUUAUAAAUAACUCAAUAGAGAUUUUGAUUCUGCCGGUUCCAUAUUUGAAUAUUGCUGCAUAAAUUAUGCAAGUUUGUUGUCCAUGGCUUCAAUCUUGCAUUUUUGGCAUUUCAUAUGUUGUAGUGUAGCCUCUUUCUCCAACCUGCAGAAUACUAGCGAAGCCUGCAGCCUACUAAACAUUUGAGCCUUGAAGCUUAUGAUUGGAACAUAAGAGCUGCCUGCCAAUAUAUGCCUUCAUUUAUAUGCUGUUGGAAAUUACUAGCAGUUGGAACUCAAGUAUACUACCAUUUAACCUUCAAUGUUGUCUGUUUUUUUUUGCAAUUCUUUCCUAAGUAAACAACUUACUUCACGAAGCGCCGCCUUUGCAUUGCUAAGCCUUCUCUUGGUCGCAGUACAGAAGCAAGUUUAAUUUGAACAUCAUCCAUCUAGUUCAUUUUUAAUUCGUCACAGUAUUUAUUUAUUGCAGGAAGAGGAAGGAUAUGGAAUGAGUCACGUCUGCCAAUACUUCAUCCUACUUGUCGUGCUUUCUUCUAAAUGGUCAAAACUGAAGAAAGGCUUCUGUCCUGCGCCCGUCAACAAAACUGAAGGAGCUAUUUCAUGUUAAGUUGUGGCCCAGGAAGCAUCUAUCUUAUGGUCUUUACUUUCAUGAUGUAUGAAUGGAUAAGUUAGUUGUAUCAAGUUUAUUGUGUGUUCUGUAGGUUCGUCAAAAAAGAAGUUCGUCGUGUGUCCUGCUGUUUUAAGUACAAUCUUUAAUUUGUGUCAUUGUGUGGAUGUGCCACUUGGUUCUUGAACUUGCAUGUGUUGUACCAAGUCUGUAUGUGAAGUUUAAUCUCUAAGUUUGCUUGUGUUUAAUUUACCACGCACGAACACCAGAGAAAUUAAACGGCAAUACUGGAAAUCAAGGGCAUGUUUCAAUGUUGGCCCCAAGUGGCCAAGGCAAAGCAUGGGCCGAGGCCAAAAUUUGGCAGCUGAUUUGGCUGCCCCCAUUUGGCCAGUCUUCGCGCAAAAAUAAACUACAGAAGUCCGGUCAAGCCAAAUCGGCACCAUCAUGCAAACAUUGCUGAUACCCACGGCCAAUGGCCAAAUUUUGGCCGGGCCACUUGGGUUGGCAUCCAAACAUGCUCCAAAUAAUGCACAUCCAUGAAGGCCACUUGACUAGCAAUCAGAGGAUAAACAAUAGACUAUAACCUUUUGCUGCUGGACAAAAACUAAUAUUUCAUAACAGGAAUUUAGGAAUAUCAAUAUUGGCACUGCUCUACAUCAAAUUAGGCAGCAUAUAACACAUAAUAAUCUGUAACUGUUUACAACACAAUAAGAAGGUGAGGGUGGAAAAUUGACAUUUAAUUUACGAUUGGGGGGUAAAAGGAGAAAGAUAUAUCUUCUUCACCAUGCUCUGGUUGGUGUAGCUACAUUCAAGGAGUUCAUAUCUAAGAAAAAUCAGUUGUACCCAUAGCAAAGUAGAAAAGGAUGAGUCUGCCAACAGAUAUUUUUGCCUGUACCCAGGACAAAAAAAAAAAGGAACCAUGCACAACCAGGAGAAACGAAGAGAAAAGAUUGGCUUGCAAACUCACCAGGUAAGUAAACCAGGUACUUGUGUAAGCGAACAACACACCGCAAAUAUCUUCUGAUCGAAAAGCUGCAAUUAACCAAAGCAAUCAACCAAAAAGUUAUAUUAGUAUUUAUGUCAUGACAGUAAAGCAAAAAGGAUAGGAGAAUACUUUGCAGUAUUAAACUACAACACCAAGAUAUUUAAGAAAGUAGGCUGGUGGUAAUAUAUAACUGAUUCACGAUGAGUCAUUCGAGCUCACUUAGACUUAUCAGCAGCAACAAGACCACCAAAUCUUUAACGGCGCAAGAAACACAAAGCAAAGACGUGAUUCCCUCUCGUCGAGCGAAGCCUCCAGAAUGAAGAAAACAUAGAUAUUCUGAAAUUAGCAGUGUUCUGAAUCCCGGGUCCAUACAAAAUUACAAAAGAGCAUAAUCAUUUCGUUUUCAGUAAACAAUGGAAACAAUGGAACAGUACGAUCAUUAUUUUGACCCUUUGCAAAAGAUCAGGCUGCCUGUUCAUUUGAACCAAGAUCAUUCUACAUUUAAUUUUCUUUUGUGCAUAGGGGAGUCAUGAAUCUAUAUAUAUGUAGGUGAAAAGAAAAUAGGAUUUAGAAUAUAAUCAGUUUUGAACGUGAACCUGCAGAAGCUAUCGACUGAAGAUUGAAGCUUCGAAUAAAAAUCAUCUAAUUAGUGCCCUCGAAUCAUAGCCCUGAAGAUUGAAGCUUCAUAUAAAAAAACAUCCCAUUAGUGCCUUGGUUUGGAUUUCAGCUUGACUGCACCAUUAAUUCGGAAUAAACAAUAUUACCACAGCUAGAUGACCUUGAUACGCCUUUCUUCUUCAUCUUCUUUCUCUAUUUUACUUCCUAAACAGUGUUGGUUUGACCUUCGCAGUGCCGUCUACUUGUCCACCCUUUCACCAAUGUCAUCCUCUCCACCUCGCUGCACUCUUCUUCUACCUGACAUUGCCUGCCUCUAAAUCUACACUGACGUAUCUCAGCAGCCAUUUCUUCUUUUCACCUGGACCUGGGCACCUGGCACUGCAACAGCUCAGGUUGCCAAUAAUAGGAUUCCAAUCGAAGUGGUCUGUACAGGUUAGAGGGUAUGGGAGGUUUGGACUUAAAUAGAAUCGGAUGACCAAACCUAAUUGGAUGGCAAAAGCAGGUGUAUGUGCACCUUGUGUUGGAGAUGAAUGAACAGAGAGGAACAACAAGAACUCACAGUACAUAGCGACCAUCAAGGUAGCAUGUCGUGAAGCUGAAAGCCGGAACGGGUACUCGCGCUGUCGCCCAGUCUGCAAGCCGGACCUCGACGGGCAUCACUUCUCUAGGCCGCUGGAGGCGUAGGGCAUGGCGAGAGGAGCAAGCUCUGCAUUUCAACAGCAGGACGUAAUAAUAUUUUGACUGAAUGAUCAUCUGCCAUUUAUCAGAAUUACUGAGCCUCCGGAUACUAGCUAGCAUAGAUGCCAACCGCUGCUGCUCCACGACGUCGUUGUCUUUGCUGCCUAGGAGGGGGUUGGCCGGUGGCCGGCGAUAGCCGGAUCCCCUAGAGCAUCAGAGGUGGUGGUCGGCGGCUGUUGCAUCGAGCAAAGGAUUGGACGGUGAGUGCUCCGGAGUCUGGCGUCAAGCAGACAUGUGGGCCUUCGACUAAUUGGACCUAAUGCCAAACAUAACAGCUCGAGUACUCACAGGCCCAAUUGGCCCAUAAAGCCACCUACUCCUAUUCUCCUUUCUUCUUCCUUGCCUCAAUGCCAACUCCGGCGCGUUCGUUUCGAUUGGAAGCGGCAAGAUGUCCGGCGAGGAGGAGAACGCUGCCGAGCUCAAGAUCGGCGAAGGUUCGCUCUCCUUUACCUCUCCCAUUCUCCUCCCCCGUUUUCCCUCCCCAAAUUCUGGGCGGCGAGGAGGAGGUGGCGAUCAUCCUGGAGCACAAGUACGAGCAGAUCCAGCAGCACGUGUCGGAGUCGGACCCGUCGUCGCAGGUGUCCCAGGUGUUCGAGAAGUCACUGCAGUACGUGAAGCGCUUCAGCCGCUACAAGAACCCCGAUGCCGUGCGCCAGGUCUGCAAGACGCUCAGGCGCUACGGCCUCGCCGAGUUCGAGCUCUGCACGCUCGGCAACCUCUGCCAGGACACCAGAGGCGAGACCACCGCGCUCGUACCAUCCCUCAAGUCCGGGGGGAGGUUCGUCGGCAAAGCUGGCAAUGAGAAGAUAGAGAAGAUGCUCACCGACCUCUCCCUCAUCAAGAAGUUCGAGUAGAGAGUGCCAUGGGCGUGCCUUAUUCAGUUCUUCAGUUUCCCUAGCUGUGUGUGUGACCUGUGAGACUUUUCUUAGCAGGUGACAAUGUAGUAGAAUUCCUACUGAUCAUCAAUGUUACAGUUAGUCAACUUGAUCUGCCUCGAUCCUAUAUUCUUGAUGUAUCGUUAUCCAAGUUAAAAGUCCAUAUGCUAUACUCUUUGUUUGAAAUUCUGCACGAAAAGCCAGAAUUGAGCUGAAAAGUAAUCCUUUGGUUAUGGAUGCUUCCUAAAGGUUUGGUUUCCACUUUCCAGUUCUCUGGACUUCUCAUCUAGUAGAAUGCUACCUCCAGUGUUAAAUGUUGGUAACUUGGUAGGAACAUGAAGCAUGCAACAGCUUCAAUCCUCUCCAGCAAGCCUUAGAGUUGGAAUCCAAACUGAUCCUUAUUCUGAACCACAUCCGUGAUGCUUACAGUAACUACACAACACAGAAUGCAAGAAGCUCAUAUCUUACAUGCAGUCCCUGGUGACUGUGAGACUUUUAUCAAGAGAGACUUCCCAGGUGAAGAUGUACUAGAGUUUCUAUUGUUCAUCUGCUUUCGCAUUAUCUUGAUCUAUUCUGACAAGAGUCCCGAUCAUGAUCUGUUAAGAGAACCUUGUUCGUUUCAUAUGUAUAUGAAUAUGAUUGCAUUUUGUUCAUAAUUCUGCACAAAAAGACCUCCAUUCAGUUAAUUGAAUUGAAGAGCAAGCCUUUGACGAAUGCUCUCAGGUAAAGAGAGCAGCUUUGGUUCUCUGUUCUCAUGUUCUGUGAUGCAAUCUAUAUUACUGAACAUACCAUACAUAUGAACAUGAAUAGAACACCCUGCAAUUCAAGCAGGCAAACUGAGCCUGAUUCUGAACUUCACGUCACAAUGAUUUCGAGACAUCUGUAACACUACAGUAACUACACAGCGCAGACACCAAGAGGCACACAUCUUAUAUAUAUAGUUACAAGUGAUUCAUUCUCCUUCUGUCACAUAUCUACUGAAUCAAUCCAAAUGGACGAUUCUAUAAGACAUUUGAUAUUCAUUUCACUAGUAGACAGUAACAGGUGACAAUGCCUCAUGGCCAGGAGAUGCUGGGGGAGAAGAAGCGCUAGCUUGCUUCCUACGAGCACCAGUUCCAGCAGCCAAAUGAAGGCGGUACCCGACCGGUUCUCCUGAUGUGUUAUGCCUACUCCGCUGUCCUUGCUGCCGCGCGGUUCCUUUUCAGCUCCGCUGCAGCACGCUUCUCAUCUGCAUUGUGCCUUGCUGAUGCAAGCUGGGUCAUCAGCUUGUCUUUAGCACGGGCACGCAUCCUCUCCACUUCAACCUUCAGGAACACAAAACCAUUAGUGCUUUGUUGAUAUGUACAAUGGAACAUCCACAUAAUCGGUGUUAAGAAAAUCUGAAUUUGCAAUUGGUUUUAUAUGUUCUGAACCUGAACUUCUCGGGCAUAUGGUGCAAGAGAAUAGGGGCAGCAGAAUAACAAACUAGAAUAAGCUAGUGAACUUGCCAUACUAUAUCUAAAUGAGACAAAAUAUUCUUAACUUGCUAUGUUGCAUCCGAAAGGCUUUGUUUUGUUGAUAUGUCGUAUUCAAGAUUAAAUGGAAUUAUGGAAGGACAAAUAAGCUAAUACCAAGUGUUAUGCUGAUGCAAGAGAAAAAUCGUGCCCUGUUCAGAUAGGCUGAUGCAAGAUUAAAGGACAAUGGUUCUAAGUGUUGUUUUGGGCUAAUUUUUUUUUCCUGUAAUUAUGGUGUUAUUACUUAUUUUGUCUUAGGAUCUUUAUAUUCUAAUUGUCAGUGGCAGUGGCAGUGACCAGACGAUCGAAUAAUUUCAUCCUCAGCAAAUUGAAGGAAAGCCCUAAAGGGCAAUGAUACGCAUUGAAUUAAGAUAAAUAAUAGCUGGAGGAGGUGGUAAGCUGCAAAGUUAGAGCUGUUGCAUUUUAACACCAUUCCUGCCCAUGCAUGUCAUUACCAUUUUCAUUAAUUAGAUAGAUGCGUUGUGUUUGUGGGUAACCGUUAACUCAAAUGAAACUAACUAACUGCAGACCGACUACUCUAGCUACUUUCAUUGGUCCAUGGCAAAAAGAAUAAACUACUACUAUUGUAAUGAACAAUUACAUACCGAUCCUACACAUUCCAUCUUGUUUAUUGGCUAGGAAUGGAAACAAUUACAUACCUCCUUUUGGUGUCCUGGCCACUAACGUCACGAUGUCGCUGGGGCGGCACAGGGUACGGGUUGGGAGCUCGUAGCUGUUGUAGAGUCAGACACAAAUAAAUAUAUGAUCCAACAAGUCUUUUGCUGCAUGCAGCUAGUUCAAUGCAGUGCGUGCAGGGGGUGAGUGUUGAAAUAUGCAAUGCGUAUUUGGAAUAUUCUAGAAGAUUGUGGAGAUCUCAAGAGACUAACUUUGCCAUAUAUAAGGAUAAGAUCAUGGCAAGGUAAGAAGGUUCUAGAAAAUUGGAAAGAAUACAUGAGCCAUAAUUGUCAUGCUUCAUGGUGAAGUGUAGAAUACUCAAACUAGAUAUUUUAGUAUGGUAGAAAUAUAAGAAACUAGAUAAGGAUGAGGAGGGUUCUAGAGUUAGGAUAUUUUGUAUUCAAGAGUGUGAAAAUUGCCACAUGGCAACAUCACAAUGAUCAUGAACACUUAUAAAUAGAGGUGCUCCCCUCCCUCCUAACCGAUUUUUCAACAGUGAGCGAGGCCAAUUAUUAGCAUAUACAUGCAUAAUGUAGUAUAAUUAAUAAAGACUAGAUAGUCAGCUGAGAGACACGACUUACCGAAAGCCUUUGGGCUUAUGACUAUAUUUGCAUUAAAAGGCUAAAGUUUAGCACCAACUCAACCAAACAAGAGAGUUAAUCGGUGGGUUAAACUUUAGUAAAACUUGAAAAAUUGUAAAAGCAUAAGCUAGGAUAAACUUUAGUUAAGCUAAAAAAGAUGUAAAAGUAUUAUUUAGGAUAAAAGGAUUCUGACUUGUCAAACUAAUAGCUUGGAGAGCAGCAAGUUGAGGACCUGUGACAUGAUGCUGAUUCUGGGUUGUAUGGGACCUCAUAAUCCAAGCCUAUAUUGAAAUUAUAGGUCUAAGUAAGAAGGUCACUUUCUUGAACCCCAACUCUCCAAUCAUUACCAAAACUAGCAACAACUGCAUCACAGAUGGUAUGAUACUUUGAAUCAGCAAUCUUGGAUGAAGAGAAAUCAUGCAACUCCUUGAAUAAGUGAGGGUAAGAGACCAUAGGAAUAAGAAGCAGAUGUAUUGAAAAAAUUGCACAGUCCUCAAACCUAUUACUCAUCAACCAGAGCAGAUGAUCCAUAUCUGCUCAAACCUAUUACUCAUCAACCAGAGCAGAUGAUCCAUAUCUGCUGGUAGCCAAAGCCUCCCACAAACAUUAAACAAUUUCAAAAUCAAAUCCGCUACUGCCUUGUAAUUAAGUCGUAGACGAGCAUUAAUUGAUGCAUCAUCCAAAUCUUGCCUUGUGAGAAUAUGGAUGCAUCUCAGCUUUACCUUCCCUGAGGGAUACACGCGAGAAGAUCAACACAACCUCCUUCCAGCUCAAUCUUUCUCAAAGUCUUGAUCGAAGAUCUUGAAACCUUCUUACUGAUUUCAGAAUCAAGAUAAUAAGAUUUGUAACUAUGCUCACCAGGAAGAGUUGGUAUACCAUCUGUGCAAUUGGUUUUGUAAUUAGUCUAUGUUUAAUACUCCUAUUAGUAUCUAAACAUUCAAUGUGACAGUAUUUAAAGAACCAAAAUGGAGGUGCAUCUGAAAGCAAGUUGACAUCUUAGGACAAUUGUUCUUUUUUUUUUGUCAAUUCAUUCUGGUCUGCACUCGAGCUACCUAUCGAUCUCACAUUGAAUUGCGGCACACAAGAGUACAAGAGAAACAACCAAAAGACGUUGGUAAGCCAACAAGAGGUAGCAUGUGUCCUACACAAAAAGAAUUCACAGAUCAGCAUAUGCUAUAGAAAACAAAUGGACCAAAAUCACAGCAGGCACUAGCAACAAAAUAGAGGGGAGAGGUUACCUAGGAACAUUAAGAGUAAGUCAUCAAGCAUCAGUUGAUUCAGAUCAUAUCCCAUCCGGUGAAGAUGAAUCUGAAGAUCAAUCACAUCAACCUCAAACUGCGUGAGCAUAGCUGGAUUCUGACUAGUCAAACACACAACUUUGAGAGCAGCUUUCUGAGUACAUGUGACAUGACGCUGAUUCUGGGAGUUGCGUGGGACCUCAUAAUCCGAGCCUCCAUUGAAAUUAUAAGUCUCACAAAGAAGGUCAUUUUCUUAAACCCCAACUCUCUAAUCAUUGCCAAGACCAGCAACAAGAGCAACAAAGAUGGCCUGAUACUCUGAAUGAUCAAUCUUGGAUUCCAAGAAACUAUGCAACUCCUUGAAUAUGUGAGAAUAAGAGAUCAUUAUAAUAAGACCAACAUGUAUUGGGAAAAUUUUCCGGUCCUCAAAGUGAUUAUUCAUCAGCCAGAGAAGGAGAUCAAUGUCUGAUGGUAGACAAAGCCACCCACUGACCAUAAACAAUUUCCAAAUUAAAUCCGAUGUUGCCCUGGUAAUUAAGAUAAAUAAUAGCUGGAGGAGGUGGUAAGCUGCAAAGUUCUCUACAAUGAUAUUCAAACUCCCCUGUGAUUAAUAUUUUUGUUAAGCUUUGCUACUCAACAGCUGAACAACUUCCCAUGCAGGGAUUAUCUAAUAUACGCAUCGUUCUGCCAAGCUGUGGUAAGAAGAAUAAAAUAAGGAUUCUAAAUAUUACAAAGGAGAGGAAAACACAUCUCAACUAAAAGAGGCAAACUGGGCAGGGAUCCAUGGCCAUGGUGACUUUGAAUGAAAGGAAAUAAGAUGCUUACUUCAAUUUUUCUCAUUUCAGCUUCAAUUUUGGCCUUUUGAUGAUCCUCCCAUGCUUGGAUCUUGAUCUCUUCUCGUUUGAACCUUGAAAGCAGAAGGCACAGCAUAUAAUUAAGUCACCAACCAACCAGAGAAUUUAAAAAUGUAGAUGUAAGACACUUAGAUAUAAGCACCUGGCCAAGUAUUUGGCCUUUUCCGCUUCCUCCCAAGCAGCUGCACGCCUGCACGGACUUCAGUUAUGUUCUGUGUUGAUUGGUCCAUGGGCACUGUUUUCAGUGCAAGGGAUGCAUCCUUUUCCUCUUCCUUCUUGCUUGCCCAUACUGCAAUAUUUGUCUUACCAAGCUGUGUGCCAAGAAGCAUUAUCUCCUUCCUAGUUUUUGUUUGCAGAUCCUGUUCACUUAAUUCGGCAUUGCUACAUUCUCCAUGGCUGCUAACAGCUCCAACUGCAUUGGGACCUAACGUCCUUCGUGGAGUUGUUGGCCGAGAACAAUUUGGACUUGUUGCUCUCACUGGUGUUCCUGUCCGGGAUGGUUCUUGGCUUGCAAUAGGAGUCAUUUCAGUGCCCAUAUCCCUCAUUGAUACUGACCUAACUGUUGAUGGAGGAGGUAUGCAUGUUGUUGCGCUUUGAAGUGGGGUGGAUGAAUCAUUACGAUCAAAAGUAACUGCACCCAUUCAAAAAAAAUCAACUAUAAGGAAUUUGAAUAAUCUUCGGUUGCAUUUGCACCUUAAUUACAACAUGAGAAGUGGGGAGACUAGCAUUUUUUCAAUGAAAAUACGUGUCACAACAUGUUCUAGCGUUUUUGAGGUUUGGUUAAUUAGCUCUGAAUAUUCUUCACUCUUAUCAUGGUGGCGGGCGACACAAGUGUUGGAGCUGCCUACCUUCCGAGUGCAACUUGGACUCUGAAUGCCGAUGAUGCCGUCCCAACCUUGCCUUCCACUUCUGCUAUCCGGCAGAAAGGCCUCCUCGAUCUUCCGGCCAAUAUGGCAAGCAUGAGUCACGCUACACUGAGCAUCUUUGCACUAUACCACUGCAUGUUUAUAAAACGAAAGAUGGCACUUCCUUGUCCUCUUGGACGAGAGGUCGCUGCUAAACCAUACUGACUCCGCAACUAAAUGCGGAUAUCUUUUUUUUUUCUAGAAUACGCAGGAGAGCUGCGUAUCUUUGUAUUAAGAAGAUAAGAAAAUUUUCUUACAACGCGGAUCUACCAGGCGCACGUACACGGCUAGGAUACGGUGUUACAUGAUGGAAGCUGAAACAAGCAAAAGCACACAACUCAAAGGAAACAAAACAGCCAAGAUGCAGGUUCAAACUGUCGGCCAGCUGAAAGCAGCAACUUGCUUUGCGCCAGCCGCGCUCCAGAGGUUAGCCUCGUCAAUGAUAUCAGCAACCAGUUGGAUGGGCGUUUUUAGUGCUGCUCUUUGGAAGAUCCGAUCGUUGCGCUGCUUCCAAAUCCUCCAGGACACUAGCAUGAAGAUUGAGUCCAUUCCUUUUCUCUUGUCAUCGCUGAUCCUCUCCCUUUUUUCCAGCCACCAAUCUGACAAGGAUUUGUUUGGCGACGGCGGAGUGUUCUGAAUGUUCAAAGACAGACUGAGAAUGUGCCAUACUUGCUGCGUGAAGCUACAUCUCGCGAGCAGAACCAGGCAUGUAUAUAUGCAGUGUUCUGAUAAUCACGUGUGUCGCUUUCGACUUGACCCUUUACCAGAGCCAUUAAUUCUCGAGCUGAAUGAUAAAAAGCCGGGCAAAACCAGGCAUGUAUAUGUGCAGUGCAAGGUUCCAAAUCACUGGUAUUUCUUUCUGAAGAAAAUGCCAAUGCUAUUAAUUUGGGGAAAAAAGUUUUGGUGACAGAGAUGAUUGAGAUGAAAUUAGCCAUGUAAAUUGAGGAAGAACGUAGCGUUGACGCUCGUUAUUGACACCUAUUUGAAUAGUGUUUUCAUGCAUAUUCUUGUACUGACCCGCCACUUGGCACCUGAAAUAACCCCAUAUUCGUAUGGGUUGUGUUUUGGACUAUAUUGCAAAAUCACAGAAAAUAUGACAUAAAUGAAGGGUUUUUCUACAAGUUGAAUUUGAACCUAGACUUUGAACAACACGAGAAGUCUACACGGGAAAGACAAGGAUUAGCGGAGACCAAAAGAGGGUAGGCUGAUCGGCCCAGGACACAUAGGCCGAUCAGUCUGGACCGAUUCACUGUCCAAAUGUAUCCACAUUCGAUGAACCAUCAUUCAGAUGACUUAGAGGCGAAGUAUGUAGUGAUUUGGCAAGUCAGUCUCGUGGUCAAGCUAAGGGAAACUCAAGGCUGGAAGGUCAUAAGGCCCGUAGAAGCAGCAGAACUUGCACAAGGCAUCUCCCUCGUCCGGACUCCGAUUGGGACAAAUUUAAUGUCUAAAUUGCAUAGCUCAAAAAGAUCUACAACUUUCAUAUACAAAGUUUUGGCAUCUGAGGCCGGGAAGGAGGCGAUAUCGCCUAGGCUGAUCGGCCCAACGGGCCCAAGCCGAUUGCCCUAGCCCGUUUCUAGUCCCGAUCGAUGUGCCCUUGUUGAUGGCUGUUAGCAUGCCAAGUUGUGAACCGCAAGCGCACGGAUCAGUUGUAAUUCUCCCCCUCAGAGUACUCCCCCAUGGUUUAUCAAUUCAUGGAAUUUAAAGUACAAGAUCUAUUUUAACUAGCAUUGUUAGUAUGGACUUUGUAUUGAUGAGUGAUUCAGAUCUAAUCUACUAAACAUGUACAUACAGAUAUCAUAUAGAGUAGAGAUAACUAAUCUAGAGUAACCUAGACUAUGCAUAUGUUGUAAUUCCGAGCAUAUGUUGUAUUUUCUGCAGCAAUUGUAGUCUUUAAAUAAGGCUCCACUUCUGGAUAGGGAUCAGGUGGAGCCCAAUUUACAGCUUUCUGCCACCCAAUUUCCCUCUUCUCUUGGCUUGGAUCAAUCCUCUUAGUAUCUAUCUCCUCCGUGGCCUCCAACACAACCUUUGUUGCUGGUAGCCUCCCAAUGCCAGAGCUAGGUUUCUCCAUCUUCCAGGGUACUGCCCCACCAGCAGCCCUGCUAGGACGGUUUGUUGUCGGGCUGGCAAUCCAUUUCUGCACAUCGUCCCACUUUGAUGGAGCAGGCUUUGAGAAGGGAGGAACAACUGAUGCUGCCGCUGACCGAGCGGACGUCCCUCGUUCCUUGUGGAAUUCAAAGUUAGAAGCCACACUCUGAGUCACACGAAUCCUCGUCGGGCACCCUGACCCUGAAGCCAUGGAGUGGGUAUCUCGCGACCGGUGCCCACCCCCUGUCUCAAGCGAGGUUGAAGAUUCUGAGAUGGUGCUCACCACAUCUACAUCUCAAAGCCCAAUGGUCCAAACUGCAUACAGUCUCGUAUACAAACAAGUAGCCCAUCAUCAUCAGCAGCGGCAGCGUCAUGCGACAUAUUGUGUAUGGGUCAAUAAUUUGGACCGUGAGGAAACGAAUUAGGCUUGAAGCAGAGGCAAAAAAUGUGCCAAUAAAAGUAGUGACUUUUUUUUAGUUAGAAAAAUCCAUUUUUACUAACUAUAACGAAAAAAGUAGUUAACUACUGCUUAACAACUUAUAUACAUAUAAAAAAAUAUCCUAAUAUCUUUUUCCUUCCUUGAAUCUUUUAGUUUUAGUCAUUUCAUGAAAAAUUUUAUACUAUAAAUUUCUUCUUAUCCAUAAUGGAUUUACCUGGACCAAUACAUGAGAUUCUUGUGCUAUUUGGGGGAUUUAUUCUUCUACUAGGGGGUCUUGGAGUAAGUAAUUAUUACUUACCAACCCAAUUUAUUCAGCCUUUUCGCUGGGAUUAGUUCUUGUUUGUAUAUCCUUAUUCUAUUUUUUAUUGAAUUCCUACUUUGUAGCUGUCGCACAACUUCUUAUUUAUGUGAGAGCCAUAAAUGUCUUGCUCGAAAUCAUAAACUUUGAUCUUAUGAUAUUGUAUUAGUGGAUGACACUGCAUUUCAAGAGUUUAGAGUUUAGGUAUAUAUAUGGCAUCCGAUGCAUUUCAAGAGUUUAGGUAUAUAUAUGGCAUCCGAAGCCAAGUUUAAUGAGUAAAAUAUGCAUUUUGAGAGUAUAGGGACUUAAGUGACACCCGAGCCCAAGUUUAGGGAGCUAGAUAUGCAUUUUUUGAGAGUACGGGGGUCUAAGUGAUACAACCGAACAAGUUGAAUGACCAGCCAUGCAUUUUACUCUAAAGAUAUUGUUCCAUGAGGCAUCAUUUACCGUGUCAAUAGCUGUUCCGAAGAGCUGGAACGCCCUGCGCUUUUCAGGUUGAUCAGGAAACACCUGAAAUCGACUAGAAGAGAGCAAACGAGCAUGGUUUUGCACUUCUAGAGCGUAUCUGCAUCAGUGAUGGCGUAUGAAGCUUGAACUUACUAUACAGGACCUAGUCCUCUUGAGCUCUUUAAGCUUCCUUGCAACAACAGGAGCAAGCUGGAUGUUGGCAUCGAUGAACUCAUCUGAGGAUCCCUACAGAAGUAAGCAGGAUGAUCAGAAACAGUAGUAGGCCAAGUACCAUACAUAUGUAAUACAGUAAUAGCAGAAAUCGACCUGGUCUUUUCUGGAAAAAAAGAAGUGACAAAGGCUAGCAAAAAAUCAGUAUUGUUGAUAAAAAAUAAACUCUCCCAAAUCAGAAAUGCAUACUUCAACAUUGUAGUAUACAGAUUACAGAGGUAUCAUUCCCUGCAUCAAUCGUAUGCAUCUCUAAUUCGAUAUAAUCAAUCAUCGUACGUCAGAAGUACAAAGUUCAUAGUGUGGCAACAAUUGGUGCCAAAACUAGUAAGAAGAGAUGACGCAGAAUGAGCAUAUUGUGAUGAGUAGGUGUACCUUGUAAGAAGAGAUGCUGCUUGGCAGAGGCCUUGACAUCGUCAAAAUUCAGAAGCAGAGCCACCCACGAACAAGGCGUGAACCAGCAAGGAAACGAGCGAUGAUGAGAAGAUAAUGCGGGCACGGGGACAGCGACGCAGCAAAACGAAGAGCGGCGAGCUGGGAACUCGAUCUCGAGGCGGGUCUUGCCGUCGUCGAUGGCGCAGGCGAGGGAGCGCGCGGCGUCGGAGACGAGCACGUCGUAGGAGCGCGGCUUGUACACGGACACCCCGGCCCUGAGCGCCUCCACGUCCCCCAUGCCGGUCCCCGUCCCCGCCUCAGCGCGUGGGGAGACGGCCAGGCGGCGGGGCCGGAGCCGCGAGGAGGUGGCCGGCAGUCGGGGCGGAGAGGGAAAGGAGAAGGGCACGCGCGGCAGGCGGAAGUGCCGGGCGCAGAGAGCCGUGGGCGCCGGGGCGGCCAUGGCUGUGCGAUCCAGCAGCGUCGAGGAGGAAGAUAGCAGACGACAACACAGCCACACGCUGGCGCGAGGCCAAUCGAAGCUACUGUCUUCGGCAGGUGGGGCCGAGUCAUUGCAAAUGAAGCAAAAGUCUCGUGCCUCCCGAGUGCGAAGAGAGCAUGAGCUACACCCCCACUUCUGUCCUCGACUCAAUGCAUUCGCGGCAAGCCGGCGAGACGAUUGGAUUCCUUUUGCAUCGAUGCUUGCGCCAAUAGAAACAAGCACUUUCUUACAACGUAGUACAAACAUCAGGAUUUUCUUAACCAGCAUCGUCAAGCCCACGUCAGUGGGUGUCACCUCCUCUGCAAGCAGCACAAAGUAAAGUAAAGCAAUGUAAGUAGGCGUCACCUCCUCUGCACGCAACACAAAGUAAAGUAAAGCAAUGUAAACAAAUACAUUAGAGUAUGCAUAACAAAAUUGACUGUUUCACCUGCUACCUGCCACCUAUGCACUAACCACAUCACACCACCAAUCGUAAGGGUGCCCCGGAUGAUGCUCCCCACCACAAUCCCAGCCAACAUCCCACCAGACAUCUAGCAGGCCGCUGCGUCUCGAGCGGCGGAGGGCUAGGCGGUGGCGGCUGGCGGGGCGGAGGAGUUGGGGAUGAUGGCGGUGGAAGGGGAGGAGGGGUAUCAGCCGGUGGUUGCAACUGCCUCCUUGCGGCUCCCGCACGUGCCGUAAAGCAUCCACACCGAGUCGUUGCUGAGGUUGGCUUCGGCGAAGGCGCUGUACUCGCCGACGUUGUAGAGACAGCCGCGGUCUGGGUUGUCUACAGUGUCCAGCAACGCCAAGCAGCAGCCUGGAGGAGGAACGAUUGUCAAGAAUGUACACUGCUCCGCCACCCUCGCCGCAAGAGUAGAGCUGUUGCAUUUUGGCGCUAUUCCUACCCAUGCAUGUCAUUACCAUUUUCAUUAAUUAGAUAGAUGCGUUGUAUUUGUGGGUAAUAGUUAACUCAAAUGAAACCAACUAAAUGUAGACCCACUACUCUAGCUACUUUCAUUGGUCCAUGGCAAAAAGAAUAAACUACUACUAUUGUAAUGAACAAUUACAUACCGAUCCUACACAUUCCAUCUUGUUUAUUGGCCAGGAAUGGAAACAAUUGCAUACCUCUUUUUGGUGUCCUGGCCACUAACGCCACGAUGUCGCUGGGCCGGCACGGGGUACGGUUUGGGAGCUCGUAGCUGCUGCAGAGUCGGACACAAAUAAAUAUAUGAUCCAACAAGUCUUUUGUUGUAUGCAGCUAGUUCAAUGCAAUGCGUGCAGGGGUGAGUGUUGAAAUAUGCAAUGCAUACUUGGAAUAUUCUAGAAGAUUGUGGAGAUCUCAAGAAACUAACUUUGCCAUAUAUAAGGAUAAGAUCAUGGUAAGAUAAGAACGUUCUAGAAAAUUGGAGAGAAUGCAUGAGCCAUAAUUGUCAUGCUUCAUGGUGAAGUGUAGAAUGCUCUAGAACAAGAUAGUUUAGCAUGGUAGAAAUAUAACAAACUAGAUAAGGAUGAGGAGGGUUCUAGAGUUAGGAUAUUUUGUAUUGAAGAGUGUAAAAAUUGCCACAUGGCAACAUCACAAUGAUCAUGAGCACCUAUAAAUAGAGGUGCUCCCCUUCCUCCUAGCCGAUUUCUCAACAGUGAGCGAUGCCAAUUAUUAGCAUAUACAUGCAGAACGUAGUAUAAUUAAUAAAGACCAGAUAGUUAGCUGAGAGAGACGACCUACCAAAAGCCUUUGGCUUAUGACUAUAUUUGCAUUAAAAGGCUAAAGUUUAGCACCAACUCAACCAAACAAGAGAGUUAAUCGGUAGGCUAAACUUUAGUUAAACUCAAAAAUUGUAAAAGUAUCAGCUAGGAUAAACUUUAGUUAAGCCAAAAAAGAUGUAAAAGUAUUAUUUAGGAUAAACUUUAGUCAAAUACAUAUUUGGUCAGAUAUAUGCAUCAUUUUGACAAGAUGUGGUAAGAGGAAUAAAAUAAGGAUAGACAUUCCAAUGGAAGUUCGAAACCAUAGACAUUCCAACAGAGACCAUAAGCAUAGCAGUUCUAACUACCACUUGCAUCACUACUACUACCAAUUAGGGGGUCCAUUCCUACAUAAACAUAGCAACUCAAACUACCACCUGCAUCACUACUACUACCAAUUAGGGGGGUCCAGUCAUAGGGUUCUGACUUUACAUGUAGUCUCACACCAAAGAGUACGACUUUACAUGUAGUCUCACACCAAAUAGUAUCCAGUAGAAUGCCAAAAAGCUAGCGAGGCACUCUACCACUUAAGUCUUGCUAACUGCACUCCUCAGCCACCAUCUCUGUCCUACAAAAACAAAGAGUGCAGAUCAAUACACAGCAUAGGAAUUGGACAGCUCAUAAUCAUAGCAGAGGUUACCUAGGAGAACAUUCAGAACAAGUCAUCCAACAUCUUCGGAUCAUAUCCCAUCUGGUAAAGAUUAAUCUGAAUUUCCGCUACAACUCGAGGAAACUUCACUCUAGUGACGAUCUCAGUACUGAUGGCAGAGAAAUCGUACAUCAUCUGAUUCCAAGUACCAUAAAUAGCUGCUAUGGCUUCCAUACGAUGUGCCAACCGAUUCCUCAGGAAAUUCAGAAGUUUGUGACCAUUGAUCACAUCAAUCUCAAACUGUGUGAGCAUAAAAGAAUUCUGAUUUGUCAAACUAACAGCUUGGAGAGCAGCAAGUUGAGGACCUGUGACAUGAUGCUGAUUCUGGGAGUUGUACCGGACCUCAUAAUUCAAGCCUAAAUUGAAAUUAUAGGUCUCAGUAAGAAAAGGUCACUUUCUUGAACCCCAACUCUCCAAUCAUUGCCAAAACUAGCAACAACUGCAGCACAGAUGGCAUGAUACUCUGAAUCAACAAUCUUGGAUGAAGAGAAAUCAUGCAACUCCUUGAAUAAGUAAGGGUAAGAGACCAUAGGAAUAAGAGCAGAUGUAUUGGAAAAAUUGCACGGUCCUCCAACCUAUUCCUCAUCAACCAGAGCAGAUGAUCCAUAUCUGUUGGUAGCCAAAGCCUCCCACGAACAUUAAACAAUUUUAAAAUCAAAUUCGCUACUGCCUUGUAAUUAAGUCGUAGACGGGCAUUAAUUGCUGCAUCAUCCAAAUCUUGCCUUGUGAGAAUAUGGACGCGUCUCAGCUUUACCUUCCCUGAGGGAUACACACGAACUUUGCCUUCAGUGAGAAGAUCAACACAACCUCCUUCCAGCUCAAUCUUUCUCAAAGUCUUGAUCAAAAAUCUUGAAAACCUUCUUAGUGAUCUCAGAAGCAAGAUAAUAAGAUCUGUAACUAUGCUCACUAGGUAGAGUUGGUAUACCAUCUGUUGUUGAAUUAAAAUUCACUUCCGAGACCAUCUUAUUGUUCCUUUUGAAAUGAUCCCAAGUGACUCUCCUGUGAGCAAAAACAGCACGGGUCCCAUUGGGUGAUGGAUCUAGAAUAUACUCGUCAUACACAAGGUAUGACUUUGUUGUAAAAAAAAUAAAAACCAGAUUAAAUUGAUUGUUAUAUAAUUGACAAAGAUGGUAAAUUAACAAAAACAAUAGAAAAAAUAAGGAAUAUAUAAAACUAUAUCCUAAUUAAUUGAAUGAAAAAAUAAGAAGGCACACAAGAAAUUACUACCUGGUCCAGGAGGUACUUGAGCCAUGGGGCAAGCUUUGAAGGUGAGUCCACGAAACACUGCAAAAAUAUUUGCAAAGUCAAUCUACUGAUAAAACAAAACGUAGCUGAACCUAGAUAUCUAAACUUCCUUGUCCUAACACAUCUACAAUAGCAUUAUAACCCUAAAGGUAGCCAUGCUCAUUGGGUUGUAACCCAAGCUGUAACCUCACCAACCCAUUCAUAAAGAAAACAAAUAUAACACCCUCCAGUUCAAACCUCGAUCACCAAACACCAUACCACCCCU